CUCCGUCGUGUUGCCGGAUGACCUAGAGCCGAUGUCGAUGCCGAUGUGGGGAUAGUUCGGAUCCCACGCGCCGUUGACGUAGGUGUCGAACUCGACGGCGAAGACCGAGGGGCUGCUGCCGGAGGAGCCGAAGAUUCCGAGGUUGGAUCCGCUAGAGGAGGAAGGGAUGGUGGACCCGACGGGGGCGAUGAAGAAGGCGAGGCCGUCGGCGGCAGAGUUGCCGGGGCCAGGUGUGAUGAUGAAGUUUACGGUGGUUUCAAAGUCGACUUGGCCGCCGGUUUGUGAGAACUGGACCGGGUUCGAGUACAAUACCCGGCCAACUUUGGCGGUCUGUGCGUCGGUGAGGCGGAGGAAGGUGGAGUCCGACGGGAAAUGGGCGUCGCCUUGGUAGGUGAGGUCGGUCGGCUGGUCGCCCCAGAAGUCGUAGGUGAAGGACGUCGAUUGGGACUGCGCCACGUUGGCGGCGGCGAGGAGUAGGGCGACGGAGGAGAGGAGAGGAAUUAGGGUUUGGAGAAGCUUGGCCAUUGCUUAAUUGAUUUGGAUGUGGUGGAUGAUGGUGAUAUGUCUUAAGCUUGCACUCCUAUAUAUACUAGUGUAGUUCAUGCAUGAUAAUGUUGUUUAAUCAUCAUAUAUUUUAUUUCAUUAAAAUGAAUCACCUCGUCCAUUCGAGGUAAAUGAACCAUGUGAUCUUAUGUACUACCAGCCACAUUUUAAUUUGCUCGUUGGAAUAUUAUCUAUAGUUGUAUCUAUUGUAUUUGUAUAAAUGAUUUUUGGAAGGGAACUUAGAAAAAGUUCUUGAUAGGGGCUGUAUUUUUUAAUUUCAAGUGCAAAAUUAAGUUUUGAUAGACAAUUUACUUAUGAUUCAAUUUAACGAUCGGGUUUUCUGAAAAAAAAAAAUUCACACAAAAAAUCGAUUAUUUAAUAAUUUUAUAAGAAAAAAGAAGAAGAAGAAAUUUUCUAUUUAGGAUAUACACGAGCAGAUGAGAUCCUCUGUCCCACUAUUUUGUGUGUACCACCAUGUACCAUUCUUAAUUUAUUUAUUUUAGUAAUUAUUUUUUAUAAAAAUAAAAAUUAUUAUUAUAUUUUUUAUUUUCAUUUAAGUGAGUUACUAGAUUUAUUUGGGGUGAGCACAGGUUAUUUUGGAAAAGGAGAAUAUCUGUAAGAUGAUGUGAAAAUUAUUCAAUAUAAGCACAUAUAGGGGUUGAGUUCUCAAAGGAACUUAAUUAAUAUCCAAUGUGAUUGAUACAUUUCGACUAAAUGGAUGGACUGUGACGCCCCGACCAAAAGUAAAGAGUGAUUGUGAUCGGUGCACAAGGCAUGGAUGAAAAGCGGUUCCUAGUAAUGCUUCGAUACGGAGGAUACAUGAAUGAAUCGAAACACACCAGAAAGAGAGGGAUUCCAUGAGUACGUACGCAGGUAUAUGACUGCAUAUUCGAGGAGCUUAAAUAAUUUUAUUGGUGUUACUCAUAUCAACAAGAUGCAUCUUCUUUUUUGGUGACCAUAUGAAAUAAACUCCAAGGUUAAGCGUGCUUGGCGUAGAGCAACUUGAUGAUUGGUGACCUCCCUAAGAAGUUUAUCAGAAAGCGUGCUAGUAAGAACAAAACAUGCUAGAAAAGACUCAUAUUAGUCUGUGGGGACAGCCGUUAAAUUUGGAUUCGGGUCUUUACAAGUGGCAUUAGAGAUUAACCUCUCACAGUAUGGUGCGGUUCGGGAACGAACCAAGCGGAAGUUGGUACUCAAUAUUCCAUCUAUUGUGAGUUUCUUUGUCUUCUUCAUCUUUCUUUUACUCUGCUGUCGAGUUUCAGAGAGUAAUCAGAUAGGUUUUCAUUCGAGUUGAGUUUCUUGAGUGAUAAACUGUUAAUUGUGAGUUUCAUUCGAUCAUUUGUUGAUUAUAAAUAUCUGCACAUGGAUAUUGGUCAAUUUAGAUACACUGAUCUUCAAAUUGAUUGACGAAUCUUUAGAAUUCAAAAUUUAAAUCAAAUACGCGUGUUCAUAGUUAAUUGGUAAGUACACUUUUUUUUNAUAUAAAUAUAAUUGACUCGAGAUCUCUGCUACUUACGCAUACUUCGCUCGAGACAAAAAUAAAUAAUUGAUCAUUGAGAACUCCGCUACCACACCAUACUCGUGUACUAUUUAUCAUUGUUUAUGAUUAUUAAUAAAGACGUGUCUUUGCCUGAUAAAUUUAAUUUUCAUACUCUUGAUUCUUUUUUGGCCAUAUCAUUUUUUAAAAAAUUGGGAGGGGAAUGGUGGAAAUUGAAUAUGAAAAAUACCAGUCAAAUGAUACAUGUGCACUUUCAAAGACAAAACAUAAAUGUAACCUUCGUUUGUAAAACAUAGAAAUUCUACCAUAUAUUUGUGAUUAUUUUACCUUUAUACGAUCUAUUUAUAUAUAUUUAUUAGAAUUAAUAAAAAUAUACUACAUUCGUCCACGAAAAAGAAUCUCAUUGUGUGCUGGAUGUGAGUCGUAUCGAGAGUGAGAGGGAACACAUUGUCUCCGGUCUCUGCCGUCUUGGCGAGAUCUUCGGCAUUGGCCUGAUCCGGCCGCUGAGGUGGCCGGUAGGUCAUCCAUGGAGUAUGGCUAUAUUCAUACUCGUAUCCCAUUUUGGUUGUAGAACAAGAAGGCGGUGUUGUUGAAAUCGUCGUCGUUGAUAUCCUUUGGAAAACCGGCUGGGAUAGUUUUCGCCAUUAGAGUGAUGUGCGUAGAAGAGAGGAUCUUCCGGCGGUCUUCGCGGAAACCGUUGUCGCGUGUCCAUAGUUCAUGGAUUGAAAAUAUGCAGGUAAAGCACCCGGCGUACUCGGCCAUACAAUUAACUCGCCAUCAUGAGCUAUAAUUCUAUUCGAGUAAGUUCAAUCUCUAAUGAAUUAAUAUAUUUUUAUAAAUAUAUAAUUUGCAAAAUAACCUUAAAAUAAAAUAUGUAAUAAGGGUAAAAUAGGCAAUCCACAUGUUGUGCUCAAUGCUCUUUUUAUAUUACUAGGAGAAAGAUAAUUAAUGUUAUUUUAUCUAAUAAAAUAAAAAAUAUAAAUAUAAUAUUUAUUAUAUUUAAAUUUUUAAUUAACAAUUUUGUUUAUUUAAUUCUCUUAUCUCUUACAAUAUUUUUUUUUAGAAAAUCUAUUAGUUCAUUACUUCGACUAAAUAUAAUUUAUUGGAUAGAUAUAUUUAUUUAUAAGCCUUAUCAAUAGCUAUAGAUAUAUAUUACAUAGAUUUAAUGUAAUAUUUAAUGAAUCAAUAGCUCUUUUCUUUUAUAUUAGUAUAGAUUAUAUAGAUAGAUAUAUAUAGUGCAUGCAUGAUAAUGUUGAUUGAUCAUCGUAACUAUAUAAUUUAUUGCACUAAUAAUGAAUCACGUUCCCACUCGAGGUAUAUAAAAUGAAUCAUGUGACCUUUUCUACUACCCGACACAUUUUGCUCCUUGGAAUAUUAUUUAUAAUUGUGUCUAUUGUAUAGUGCAUGCAUGAUAAUGUUGUUUAAUCAUCAUAAAUCUUCAUGGCUCAUCCACCUCAUCCAAUCGAAGCAUAUAAUGAACCAUGUGAUCAUAUCUACUACCUGACACAUUUUGCUUCUUGGAAUGCUAGCUAUAAUUGUAUCUAUUGUGUGAAUGUAAGCAAAAGGGCGCGCACAAUUUUUUAUUUUUUUUUGGAUAGGUGACUCGCUCAAAAUACCUAUUGAAUUGACUCGUAAUCGCACGAGGUCAUUCUAGCGUAGUAAGCUAACCCAUGUCGUAUCUCACAAGGAAGAUUAAGCAGGACGACUAAUUUUGGAUUAUUUUUAAUCAAAUGUUGGAUAUUUUUUAAUUAGAGUAAAAUUAAAAUAAGUAAAUUAUUGUAUAUUUUCAGAUUCGGAAACUAAUGGCUUUAUUUUAAUUUAAUCAUUUUCAUAUGUCAGUUAUAUUAUGUAAAUGACGUUUUUAGUAACAAACAAAUGACAUUUUAAUCAAUAAAUGAUACUUUUAUCAAUAAUAAAUGAAACCAUAUUAAGGUAAAUAGGGUAAAGGUUAGACUUAACUGUGAAAGCAUCAUGAGUUUUAUGUGUAACAUUUUCGGUGUGAAAAUUGAUGAGUUAAAAAAAAUGCUCCAUAUUGAAUUCGACAUUAGAUGAAUCUACAGUAGAUUUUCAUGCAUGAUCUAAGAGCUGAAAAUGAUUCACGGUCUAUAUUUAUUCUAUCAAAUUCCAUAUCACUUUAAAUCUCAAAUUACAUUUGCACUAUAUAUGAUUAUAUCCUAAAUUAUCAUAAAUAUGAACCGCUUAAAUCUGGCGUCGUUGCACCGCGGACAUCUUGCCGCUGCUUUCUCCCACCAUUGCCCUUGCUGCCCUCAUCUUAGGUGCCAAUUUUUUGCUCGUCGUGCAGAAUUUGAAAGGGGUAAAUUAUUUUUUCAAUUUUUUAUUGCAUUUUGCUGUCUAAGUUGAUUUCUCAAGUAAAGUGGACUUGGGUUUUGUUUCGAUUAUAGCUGAAUUCGAUGGCGCUGUGUGGUUAGAUCUGUAAUUUUGACGUGUUGUUGAAGUGUGCGGGAUUGAAUGUGAUCUGGGAGAAUUUAAGGGUUUUGGGACGUUAGUAUGAUGAUGGUGGGAUUUGAAUGAAUUUGAAUACCAGAUUAUGGUUGAUGUUUAAUUAUGUGAAUCUUGCGAUCUGUGUUGAAAUUAAUGUACAGUAUCUUCGCCUAGCCGGGGGUUCACCAUUUGGUUCCCGACCGUCCUGCUGCCUUCACUCCACACUCAAGUGCCAAUAUCUUCUUCUCGUUUCUCUUCCUUCUUCUUCUCCUCUUAGUACCUGCAAGACAGAAGGAAAAACCAGCAAGUAUAAAGAAAAAUCAGAAAACUUAAAGAAGUAAAGAAAGAAAGAAAACAAAGGAAACUCGAGGUGGGAAAAAGGUGUCCUCGGGACACAGGUGGCUCAGAUUUUUCCCACAGUGGCAACACACUCCGGCAGCUCAAAGACCACGGCACAAAGGGGAAGGGAAGUCAGAUCGGAGCUCAAAUCUGACGAGCACAGCCACCAAUAAUCAGGAAUCCGGUGGACAGGAUUCCGGCGGCUCAGAAAUCCUUCGCUUUAUCACCAAACAGGAAAUCUAAGGUCAGCAAUCCGACAAUAAUGCUAUCAACAGGAGGAAGCUCUCACUUUACGGCCACAACACCGGAAACCAGAACGGAAACCAGAGAACAGAAGGAAUAGCAGAGCCUUCAAGGUUGUGAACAUACUACAGAACUUCCCCCAAUCGAUUGCUUUAUAACCGAGACAGAGAAGGGUCGGGAAGAUGUAGUGGGCUUUGGGAAGGAGGAGGAAGCCAUUAAUGGUGGUGGAGCUCGAGGGAAAGCGAGAUCAGCAGUCGUGAAGACUUAGGGUUUGGGAGGGGAUUUGAGGUGGAGCGGCGGAGGUUGAAAUGAGGGAAAGGCCGAGUGAGAGAGGGAGUAUUUCAGUGGAUAAUGGGCUAGGGUAUUUUUGAGUUAACGGGCUAUAGGUGUCUGGGCCCAAAAGUUGGGCCAGAGAAGGGAUAAAGAGCAUUGGGCCAACAUUCCACAAUUAAGACAAUUAAGAGUAGAAAUUCUUCUUGAUUUGCUAAUUUAUUUAGGAUUAGCGAUAUUAGUUUGGAGUUUUAGAUGUCGAUUGAUUUCGUGAUCUUGAUUUAUGUGAUAAAUGCCUCUCAUCACUAAGAUUUGGAAUAUAUUGGAUAUCUAGGAUAGUGAUAUUAGUUUGGAGUUUUAGAUGUUGAUGUGUCUUUUUAGGCUGCGUUUACUUUGAUGGAUAAAUUUAUAUAUGGAAAAGGAUGGAUAACACAAAUUUAUGCUUUUAAAUGUCUCCUUCCUCUUCCAACAUUUGACACAAAAAGAGAUGCUCGCUAUUUUUUCUUCCUUAUCUUCACUUCAAGGAUGGAUAAUAUUAUCCCUCCAUUUUGGUGUGAUAAUAUUAUCCAUCAUUGAAGUGAAGAUAAGGAAGGAAAAAUAGUAGAGCAUCUCUUUUUGUGUCAAAUGUUGGAAAAGGAAAGAGACAUUUAAAGGCAUGAAUUUGUGUUAUUCAUCAUUUUCCAUAGAUAAAUUUAUCCAUCAAAGUAUACGAAGCCUUAUGUGAUAAAUGCUUUUUUAGGGGGGCCCACGGGCAUGCUGCCCCAUAUGCUAUGGAGUAUGGACCAUGGUGGCUCGGUCACUGCGCUCUCGAUUGCGAAUUAUUUUGCAUUAUCUUUGUUUGUUUUUCUUAUAUUGGGAAAGAAAACAUAGAGUAAUAUAUAUUUUAGAAGUCCAGUUACCAAUGUCGUCAAUCUCGAGUGAAAAUAAAUAUUACCAUAACACAAAAAUGACAAAGCUAUUGAUUAGUGACGAUAUGUUAGAAGUUCAGAUAAACAACACAUUUAUUCUUGUGUAUAUUAUAUUAACGUUUAUUAUAUAUUAUAAAAAGAACAUAUUCUUUCAAAAUUAUCUUGUCUAUUUUUAGAAGUUCAGAUAAACAACACAUUUUCAGAAGAAAUUUAAUAAUCUCUUACGAUUUACAUAUAAUUUUUAAAUAAUUAAUUAUCUCAGUGGUGAUAAAAUAAAAAAACGAAGUAAUUUAUUAUAUACAAAAUAUUAUGAUUUAUGUUUGUAUAUUAUUUGUUUCCAUUAGUGCAUUAUCAUUUCUAAGUAUCUUCUCACUUGUUCACUGAUUCACUAUUGGAUUAACAUGAAUAUACGAAUUUCAUAGUAUACCAACCGUUCGAUAAAAGUCCUCAAAGAAAUCUUCCAUAGAUAACCUUGCAAAAGUACGUGUAUCUAUAUUAAUAGAAUAAGAGCCUAAGGAAUCUUAAAACACAAUUUUUGGAUUGCCUAUUUUACCACUAUUAUAUAUUAUUUUAAAAUUAUUUUACAUAUUAUAUAUUAAUAGGAAUAUAUUAAUUCAUUAGAUAUUACACUAAAUCUAUGUGAUAUAUUUCUAUAGCUAUUGAUAAGGCUUAUAAAUAAAUAUAUAUCCAUCUAAUAAAUUAUCUAAUAAAAGUAAUGAAUUAAUAGAUUUUUUAAAAUAAUAAAUUAUCAAAUAAAAUAACAUUAAUUACACACGUACGUUCUUUCUGCUAGCUAGUUAAAUAAAAAGAAGAAGAAACUGAGACUGAAAAAGGGAGAAUUAAGAUAGUCCAUUAUUAUCGUCUUAUUUUUAGAACUUAAACGAGAGAAAAGUCCAUCGCUAGUCCUAAUUUACAACACAACACAACACAUGAUAAUAAAUUUAAAUCACACAUAUUGCCGGAUGUACCCUUCCUCCUCUUUGCCGGCGGCGGCAUGCACGAGGGUGGACGUGAAAUACCACGAGACGAUGUCGUGCACGGCGUCUUGGCCUCCGGUGGCCGCGGAGAUCCCGACCUGAACCUGCUGAGGAAGAAUGGCGCUCAGGUCGUACACAUAGCUCACCUCGUAUGUUUGCGAGCCGGCGGCGAGGCUCACGCUGAUCAGCUUAGUGGCUUCCAGGUAGUUGAUGCGCGCAGUCACCUGCUGCCCGAGCAACGCGUUGCCGACGUUGGUCACGUUUUUGGAAACAUUAGAUUCGAUGUCGAUCCCGAUAUGGCGAUAGCUAGGAUCCACUCCGGGGUUGGAGAAGACGUCGAAUUCCACGGCGAAGACGGCGGGGCCGACGCCGGAGGAGUUGAAGAUUCCGAAGCAGCCGCCGGUGAAGCCGAGGGGUAAGCCGACGGGGGCGAUGAAGAAGGUCACGCCGUCGGCGGGGUUCGUGUCGCCUGCGUUGGGGGUUACGGCGAACGUCAGGGUGGUCUCGAAGUCGACCUGCGCGCCGGCCUCCCAGAACGUGAUCGGGGCUGAGUACACGGCCCGGCCGACGCUGUACUGGACCGCGCUGCCGGAGCUGGUGGUGUUGGUCAUGCGGAGGAAGGUGGAGUCCGACGGGAAGUGGGCGUCGCCUUGGUAGAGGAGAUCGGUCGGCUGGUCGCCCCAGAAGUCGUACGUGAAGGCUGUCGAUUGGGACUGCAUGCGCCGUGUUGGCGGCGGUGGCGAGGAGGAGGGCGAUGGAGAUUAGGGUUUGGAGAAGCUUGGCCAUGGCUUAAUUGAGUUAGUAGUAUUUGCUUUGGAUGUGGUGUGAUGAUGGUGUAUUGGUGUUAACUCUUGCUCCUAUUUAUGCUAGUAUAGUGCUUGAAUGAAAAUGUUAUUUAAAUUAACAUCAUAUUUUUUAUUACACAAAAAUGACUCACCCCAUCUUCUCGAGAUUAACUGAACUUGUGAUCUCUAAUAAUUUAUAACCUACCACAUUGUAGUUGUUGGAGUAUACUCCCUCUGUCCCGGUUUUAGCACGAGUUUUAAUAAAUUGGUUGAUUGUAUUAUGAGUAGAAUAAGGAUAAUAUUUUUUAUGGAAGUGUUAAAAUAAUUAAAAUUGAGAAAAUGUUUCACCUAUUUUUAUUAAAAAUAGAAAUGAAUUUUAAAAUAUGGGACGACGGCCAGAAAAAGAAAAUAUAUAUGGAUACUAAAAGUUGGGACGGAGUGAGUAUUAUCUAUAGUGGUAUCUAUUGUAUGAGUACAAGAGAUUUACUUGACUUGUUGAGGUAUGGAGAGAUUAUUACAAACCACGUGAAAUUGAGUUCUUGCUCCCACUGUAAAAGCAAUAAAUAUAGGGAAAAGAAAAUUAAUACUUCCUUCGUCCAAGAAAUGAGUACACAUAUUUCUUUUUUAGUCCGUUCAUGAAAUGAGUACUCAUUAAUUUUUCUUUUUAUCAAGUGUACCUCACACAACCCUUUAAUUAAUUAAUACCUUUAAAAAGUGGGUCCCUUAUUCCACUAACACCACACUCAAUCAUUUCUUAAAACCUGUAACGUCCCCAAAUGAGAUUCAUUUCGUGGAUUGAGUAAAUUCUAUACUACAAAUUAAUGGUUCGAAUUCACUUUAAAAAAUAAACUACAAUUAAGAGUCCCUCUCUUAAUUGGAAUUCAUAGACCAUCUGCUUCAGUCGUGCCCGAAGACAGAAAAGGUUUGGAUUGGAAUUCAUAGGUGGCUAGGGAAUAAAAGCAGUGUGGCCUCAAUCAUUGAAGCACACUUCGAUUUGUUCACAAAUCUUGACAAAGGAAAGGAAGGUCGAUUUUUCUAGCGACAGUAUGGGUCUAUACCAUUUGGUUGCUGUGGAAAUGACGUAACGAGAGCAGAUUUGAGGGCAAGACUUGGGAGAUCAAUGACGUGAUCGAAGAAGUGAAAGUGAGGAUGUGGAGUUGGAACAAGAUUUUUGGACUACAUGUUAAAGAGAUUAGCUCUCAAUCUUGGUUUUCUUGUGAAACUCCUCUUGUUUUGUGUAAUUUGGUCGUAUCUCUGGUACCAAACUCUCUCCUAAUAAAAUUUCUUUUCUGAUUAAAAAAAAAAAAAAGAGUCCCUCUCUUAAUCAAGUAGACUGGAUGCGGUAAGAGAGAAAUCACUUCCAACUUAUCGAUUUUACUAGCAACAACUAGAUUUAUACUGAAGCUAAAUUGGAUCAGACUCUAGGAUUCACUAGUCUUUUACUCAAGGUGAGUCGGUUUACGAGUCUCAAACUCAAGGUGAACUAGAAUGUCUGUCAAUACGAACGUUGGGAGUUCGAGGGUUUUUUAGGACAGUAACUUAGAUUGAUUUGGAAAUUAGGACAAUAACUUUCGGACUUGUAAAAAUAGGACUCUAAUUCUUUUUAAGAGUAAAAUAGGACACUAAUUAAUAAGUGUUACAUCCGCAGGACAUUUUUCGGCCAAUUAUCGGCCGAGAAAUGUCCUACUUUUACGACGCUUAUUAAUUAGUGUCCUAUUUUUACAAAUUCGAAAGUUUUGUCUUAAUUUUCAAAUCAACAUAAGUUAUUGUCCUAAAAAAUCCCCUGACUCCGAACGUUGGAACAAGCUCGGCAAUAUACUGCUAUUCAACAUUAAUGGCACUUUGCACUAAAUGAAUUGGUGUCGAAUUAAUACAUCGUCUUGCUGCUCAUAUCUAUAUAAUAAAUGCAUACCUGCACCUCGAUAUUAAUCAAUUUAGAUACACUAAAUCUCGGAUAUACUUAACAAAUGGAUUAAUAAAUGUAUAAAUUUUAGAUUUCAGAAAAUCAAAUACAGGUGUUCAUAAGGAAAUGAUUAAAAACCCGUGUGUCAUUUAGAUAAGAUUAUUAUAGUACAGUUAACGAUGGUGAAAUAUUCUUUUACAUUAGAUAUAAUAGCAUUCCAGAUCUCAAUGGCAUUUUUUGUUAUAACAAAAAAAAAUUGUAUAUGUUCCAUACUAUCCUCAAACUUCAAAUUAUUAUUUUUCUUUAUUUUAAAAUUUGUAUUGGCACAUAUCUGUCAAUUAAUCAAAUUCAUAUCAAAACAAUAAUUCGAAUGAUAUAUUAGUUGGCUAGCUAUAAAUUACAAAUUAUUAGUGAUUAGGCAUGUUUUACACAAAUUAUUAGCCCAAACAACAUUUGAUUGUGUGCAAUGCACACACUUACUAAAAGCAGAUGUGAUCAUCUGUCCCACAAUUUAGUGUGUAUCACCGUGUACCAUUCUUAAUUUGUCUAUUUUAUAAUUAUUUGUUGUAAAAAUAAAAAAAAUAUUGUUAUAUUAUGAACUCUAAUUAAAAUUUAUAACUAAAAAUAAAAAUUAAAAAAAAUUAUAUACCCUAACUUUGAAUUAAUUAACCCAAAUAAUCAAUUAUUAAUUCAAAUAAAUAUAAAAAAUAAUUAUAAACUCUAAUUGAAUGAGUGAACCCUUAUUAAUUAGUUUCUUAUUAUAUUAUAAUAAAUUAAAAUUGAAGAAAAUAUAAUUAUAUAUUAUAAUAAAUUAAGAGUGGUACACGGUGGUACACACUAAAUUGUGGGACAGAUCCAUGUGCACUAAAUUAUAGGUACGGAGGUGCGGAUGCGGGGGCGAUACGAUACGAGUACGGGGAUACGGGUUCUAAAAAAUUAUAGGGUGCGAUUCGGCAAGGAUACAUCUAAUUAUUAAAAUUUUAUGAUAUACUAAUUGUUAGAAAUGGAUAUUGGGCCAAUUCCUCCCUUAAAAGGCCUUAUAAGGGAGAGGGUUACCUCACCAUAUAAAGUGGCUCAUGCCACUAUCUCCAAUCCAAUGUGGGACACUUCAAUACUAAUGCUUAUAAAAUAUAUACAAUUUAAAUUUUCUUAAAUUAAUUAUAUGUAAUUUACAUUUUAUUUUACCCAAAAGUUAAGCAUUUUCAAUUAUAUAAGUUAAUUGAGCAACAAUAUAACGAUUCAAAUAUUAUUAGUCCAAUAUAUAAGUCAUAACUGAAAAUAAAAUUAUCAAAAUAACCUUGUGUAGGCCUUUCGUGCACGAGAUACGUGAAUUUCGCCUAUGGAAUUUGCAAAUCCGGUUUAUUUUUAUAAAUUGUUUUAAAAGAUACGCACUGGUGAAUCGGUGCGAAUCCGACAAGAAUUCGAGAAAUCACACCCUAAAAGAAUCCGAUUCGCCGUACAUCUAAUUUUUGAAGAAUCCGUGCAUCAUAGGUGAGAAGAAACACAAGAGAGUAAAAUGGUACAUAAUGUAGAAAGACUUUUCUCCAAAAUAAAUGUUACAGUCUUCUAAUAGUCGAAAGGCGCAUGAAAAUGCGCAGUUAUUCGAAAGAAAGGAAAGGCUUAUUCAGCCACACAAUGACAUGGAAUUCGAAUUGAAAUUGAAAUUCAGACAAAUCCCAAACACGGUGAUGCAGAGAUCAAGCGGUAACACGAGGAAUGAUCUUAAUACCACCGAUGGUAACUUCGUCGCCGUUAAUGUGGGGAACGAUGGUGACGACAAUGAAAUCAUCAUCAGCAAUAUUGAUGUUCUCAUAGAGCUCCCUCAAGUUCAAGCGAAGGUCGUUGGCGCUUUCCGCAGCCCUAACCCUAUGCGGAAUCUGCGUGAAACUGCCGGCGAACUCGGCCCUGGCGAGGUCCUCUGGCUUGUCGUCUUCGUCAUUCACGAACACAUCGAACCUCACGAGCUUCGAACUAUCGGUGAUUAUGUUCUCCAGCACGAGCACUUCGUCGGCUUUGCCUUUGGUUGGUUUGGGCACCAAAACCCUGUGAGUCUUGUUGAGAGUGAGAGGGAACAGAUUGUCUCCACUCUCUGCCCUCUUGGAGAGAUCUUCGAUAUUCACCGGCACCUCCCUCCGCGGUGGCCGGUAGGCUGUCCACGGAGUUUCGCUGUGUUCAUACACGUAUCCCAUUUUGGUGUGGUCCAAGCAGUCGGCCACCUUGACGCGCACGAGGUUCUUCUUCUCGUCGUAGAACAUGAACGCCGCGUUGUUGAAAUCGUCGGGGUUGGGGACGACGAGGUCGUUGAUAUCCUUGGGGAAAACGGAUGGGAUAGUUUUCCAUAUGGUCCACAUUCUGUCGACGUUAGCGUGAUGUGCGUAGAAGAGAGGGUCUCUUCCGGCGGAGUAGAAGUUCCCCAUGUCUUCGCGGAAAUCGUUGGCGGGGUUUCCGGUCCAGACGUGGACGCCGCCGUGUGAGCCGCCCUCCGACAAUCCUCCCUUGGCGCGUGGCGGGGGCAAGUCCCCGGAAACGUAAGGAUCGCCCAUGAAGUCGAUGGCGGAUUCGACAUCACCAAUCAUUUCCUUGUACAUCUGAGUGAGAUUGUUUUCGAUGAUCGUUACAGGAUCGGUGAUCGGGGGGGUGGUUAUGGCAAGAGCAACGAGGGCCGGGGGGCGAUGCGUUGGGUCGCGGUUGACGUCGUAGAGCGGGGAUUCUUCCCUGUCGAACGGCCUGGGCAUCUGCAUACCCCUAGGGUUGUCCCAGUUCCAGUAGGGCAGGGCGAAAUCGGGAUCUCCGAUGAGUUCGCCCAUGAUCCUCUCGAAGAAAUAGAGGUACCACCUGUGGAAGGGGUGGAUCCAGAAUUUGUCAUUAGGAGGGACUAAAUUUGUUGAAGCAUGACGUCUCAAAUUAUUAGCCAAUUUUUUUUAGCAUUCCAUACAGUUCAUUUUUUUGUCGAACUACAUUCGAUUAAUUCAACAACAAGAACAUUGAAAGCAUAUAAAUACUUACCUCUCAAAAAUUGUUUCAUCUUCUAAGAAGAUAAGCUAAUUUUCAUCAUGGCAGUUCAUAAUUUUAAUUUAACUUGAGGAUUGACUCAAAUUCAACACUGAGAAUCAACUAAGAAAGGAAAGUAGACAAAAAUAACAUAAAUUUAACAAACUAACAUAUCAAAUUUAAAUCACUAUAAAAUAUUAAACAGUUAAAACGUGGAUACUAUAAUUAAUAAAACAAUGUAUUUUAUUAUCUCUUGUAUUUCUUAUCUAUACUAAUAGAAAAAGAGUCUAAGACAGUCUAAGGCACAACUUGUGGAUUGCCUAUUUUACCCUUAUUAUAUAUUUAUUAUUAUAUUUACAAAAUAUAAAUCUAUUUUGAUAAAUAUUUAUUUGUCACUCAAAUCUAUAAAGAAUACUUUAUAUCUAUAGCUAUUGAUAAGGCUUAUAAAUAAAUAUAUUCAUCCACAACGUACGUUCUUUCUGCUAGUAUAUAAUAAAAACAAAAACAAAAAACUCAAAAUUUGGGAGGCGGUCGAUCCGCUGCUAACCUGUGGAAAGGGAAGAAGAUCCAUGAGUUGUGAACCUGGAUAUCGAUGCCGGGGUGGUCCACCUGGUCGUAGGGGCCGUUGCAGUAAGCGCAGUGGAUGUUGGCCUGCUGAGUGAAGCCACGGGGAUCGUCGGGGUCCGUCACGUCCAGUUCCUUCAUCUUCUGGAUGGCCAACUCAUACUUGCGUACGUAUUCCGGUGUCAGCCUGUGCGCCGCCGGCCUAACGCGAGGUUUAGUGAACCUCGGAAGCUUGUAGUCGCUCUGAACGUCGGUGUAGGGCGGGCAGCAGUUGACGUCUAGAGAUAUUACCUCUUGGUUUCGAGUGGUGUAGGCACCUUCGGGGUCGCAGGUGCUCAGGUCAGGAGGCAAAAUCGGAAGCGCCUCAGCUUUGCGGAUGGCGCUGCCUGCGCCGUAUAGACCGCCCAGCCCAAGCAGCAUGUUUCUGCGGUCUAUACGGCCGCUGCCACCGCCACCGCUGCUGCAUGACACCUGAAAGCGGCCGUGGCUCCGCCGGCUGCUGAGCUGGGAGGGCUUGCGAAAUGGGGAGUUGGUGGCGGCGGCGAUCGCCGUGAAUGAAGAUUGAAGGGAAGCCAUGUUUGAGUGAUUGAUUGAUGGUCGUUGUGAUUACCUGGGGAGGCAUGUCUUUAUAUAGCAGAUGUGACACGAGUUUUAAGAAAAAUAAAUUAUCCGUUGAAUAAUUAAAUCGCCAUGUUUCUAUAAUUUAUUCCUAAUGGAUCUAGUCAAACUAAUCGUGCAAUAUUUAAUAAACCACGCAGCAUCAUUUCCGAGACUAAUAAAUGACAUUUUGAACCAGCUAAUCAAUUCCAUAUAAUUAACCAUUUGCGAGGCUGGCUGCCCUUCACUAAAUGGUUGUAUGCACUUGUCUUUGGAAAAGCUGUUUGGCCAUAUUAUGGCCAGUCAUAAUAUGGGAAAAUAUUAUAAAAGUCAUGUAUUUAAUUUUUUAUAUUUAAAAUAAAAAUAGGAUUUUAUUAGUUUUAUUUUUUAUUACAUAUUUUAGCUAUUUUUUUUUAUAAUUUUUCUGAAUUUUUUAGAAAAAUAAAAAAUAAAAUUACAAUGUGAACAAAAUUAUAAAACUAAUAAUGGUAGAGCAGCGGAGGGCACAGGUGAAGGGCAUGGCGGCGGUGUACUUAUUUUAGUCAAGUAAUUAUUAUUGCACGAAAAAAUAAUUAUUAAUAUAAAGAAAGAUAAUGUUUCAAAGACAUUAUCUUUCUUCAUGUCUAUUAAUUUUUCAUCACAAUAAUAAUUACUUCGAAUUAUCCGUGUUUUCAAUCGUGCGACCUGCACCCAGCCCGACCCGACCCGUUUCACCCAUAUAGUCAGUCUCACCCAAGUUUUUGCCUAAAGAUAAGUAUUAAUUAGUUGUGUAUGGUGAUAUGAGUCUUGUUUGUAUAAAUUAGUAGGCCUUUAAUAAUGAAUUGGCCCAUCUCAGGUGGUUUAUAUAAUUUACUCGUAUGGAUCUAAAUACAACUAAUCAUGAAAUAUUUAAUAUACCACGGAGCAUCUUUCUGAUAUACUAUUUAUAUAGUAAUUUAUUCCUAAUGGAUCUAAUCUCUGACUAUUUAAUAAUUAACUCGCCAUCGUUUAAAUAAUUUACUCCUUAUGGAUACACUCAAAGUAAUCGUGCAAUAUUUAAUAUACCACGCAGCAUCAUUUCUCAUACAAUAUUUUGGACCAUCUAACCAAUUACAUAUAAUUAAACCUUUUGCCAGGGUGGCUGUCCCUUCCACUAUAUGGUUGCAUGUAUUGAAUUGAAAUUUUAUUGAGGAAAAAAUGAAAAGAAAAACUAGGAAUUCAUUGAUAGCACGAAGACGCUAAUUAAGGGCUGAGCCUCAUCAAAACCUUUCCGAUAAAAAUCCAGUGAAAAAAACCACCAGCAAAGGAAAAAGAGUACCAGUCUAUUACAAUAAAAAAAUGAAGAACAAACUCAAGACAGGAACAACGAGAAGCACGAGAGGAUGAUAAAACAUCUAACCCGAAAAAAAAGACCCAAACCAAAGGAGCCUGACAAAUCCGGAGCCAGUACCAGCGCACCAGGAAACUGAAAAAGUUCUGGAGAAGCCACUUCGACCCAAGCACGCCAACCAUCCAAAAGAAACGACUACCACACCCACACCUAGGCCAAGAAAUAUAUAAUAUUGUGAAUAGUUCCCAUGGGAUCGAAACAGACCACCAAAACAAGAAAAAACCUCUAAGAGCAGACUACUCAUUGCCUGCCUGCCUAGUAUUCGAUGAAAUACCCAAACCAGAAAUCAUAGCAUAAAGCAAAAACCGCCACAGCUGGGGAGCGAAGAGCAGAAGGCCACCAAUAAGAUACAUUAGGAUUGCGCAAAGUCUGACAAAGAAAUCAGAAAACUUACCAGACCACUCUAGUUAAUGUAAUCUAUACAUGUCCGCACAUGAAAUUUGGUCAAGUUAGAUACACUAAUCUCAAAUCUAUUUAAUUAACAAAUUGAUUGAUUGAUAUUUUUUUCUGAGAGAAAUUGAUUGAAUAAUUUUUAGACUUCAAAAACUAAUAGUUAAUUGAUUGUUUAGAUAAGAUUAUUAUUACACUUUUAUAUAGAGAUAAUUAGUACUUGAGAUAUGUGCAAUUUACGCAUUCUUCUCUCGAGACAAAAUAAAUAUUAUUGACCAUUGAGAACUCUGCUACCACUACUCCAGUUCUAUUUAUUAUCAGUGUGCCCUCUCGCGCGCUGCACGGGUCACAACAUAUUUGAUUAUUUAAUUUUAGCUGUUUACGCAUACUUCGCUCGAGACAAAAAUAAAAUAAGAUUUAUUGAUCAUUGAGAACUCAGUACCACACCAUACUCGUGUAUACUAUAAUAUUUAUCAUUGUUUAUGAUUAUUACGUGUCUUCGCCGAUAAAUUUAAUAUUCAUUCCUUUAAUUUUUUUCUAUUGACAUUGGAAACUGUCUUGAUUCUUUUUUGGCCAUAUCAUAUAUUUAAAAAAUUGGGAGGGGAACGUGGAAGUUGAAUCUGAAAUAAGAAUCAAAUGAUACAUGUGUACUUUCAAAGAUAAAACGCAAAAUAUAUCAUUUUUUUGUAAAACAUAUAAAUUCUACUAUUUAUGAUUAUUUUAAAUUUAUAUAAUCUAUAUUUGUAUGUAUAUAUAUUCUCCAUUUGUUCAUGAAAAAGAGUCUCAUUGUAUGCUGAAUACGAGUUUUAAUAAAAUGGUUGUAAGUGUGAAAUAAAUGUAUAAUUUGUAAGAGUCUUUACAUUAGAUUAUAUUUUACUCUCUUCGUCCUAUUGAUAAUGACUCACUUUUCUUUUUCGUCUGUCUCAUUGAUAAUUGCAUGUUCCAAAAAAACUGAAACCAUUUGACCUCACAAAAUGUUGUGGGCUCCACUACUUUUUAUCACUUUUAUCCUUUAAUUACUAUUCUUAUUAAUAACCGUGUCGAACAGUAAUGAACUAUUAUCAAUGGGAGGGAGGGAGUAAUAUUUUAAUUUUGUUUGCUGCCACCACCACCACCACCACCACAAUUUAAAAAAAAAAAUCUACGUGAAUAUAGUAAUUAUUAGAACAAAAAAAUAACUAUAAUAAUAAUAUAUUAAUCCGUUAAUUAUCUAUACUAAUAUAAAAAGUGCAUUUGGCACAAAAUAUAUAUUGCCUGUUAUAUCCCUAUUAUAGUAUUUUAUUUGAAGGACAACUUUGUAAAUUAUAUAUUAUAUAUUUAUAAGAAUAUAUUAUUUCAUUAGAUAUUACACUAAAUAUAUUUGAUAUAUAUCUAGAUCUUAUGCUAUAAUUUUUUUUAUAUUAAUUAAUUAUUAUAUAUUGUGAUUUAAUAGAAUUAUACAACUCUAAUAAUUUAUAAAUGUAAAGUUCAGGGAUUGCAUGCAAUGCACACAUUCUAUGCUAGAAAAAAAAUAGAAUUCACUAAGCCGAUGAUAAAUAACACAUACAACGUACUAUUUCUGCUAGUAAAUUAAAAAUCUAUAUGAUUUUAUCUUCUAUCACUACAUUAAUUAAAAUCUAUCUUCCGUUUCAUAUUAACGGUGGUUUUUCAAUAUUUUUUAUAUUAAUUACUACAUAUUGUGAAUUUAUUACAAUUGUUAACCUCUAACAAUUCAUUAAUAUAAAGUUGAUGGAUUGUGUGUCAUGCACAAACUCUCCUGUACUCAUCUAAAAGACUCUAUAUGUGAGAAGAAACCGCAGGAGAGUAAAAUGGUACAUAACAUAGAAUAGAAAGACUUUCACAAAAUAAAUGUUACAUUCUUCCCGUAGUCGGAAGGAGCAUGAAAAUGCGCGGUUAUUCGCAAGAAAGAAAGGCUCACUCAGCCACACAAAACAUGGAAAUCCUAAACACGGUGAUGCAGAGAUCAAGCGGUAACACGCGGGAUGAUCUUAAUACCACCGAUGGUAACAUCGUCGCCAUUAAUGUGGGGAACGAUAGUGACGACAAUGAAAUCAUCAUCAGCAAUAUUAAUGUUCUCAUAGAGUUCCUUCAGGUUCAAGUGAAGGUCGUUGGAGCUUUCCGUGGCCCUAACCCUGUGCGGAAUCUGCGUGAAGCACCCGGCGUACUCGGCCCUAUCGAGCUUCUGUGGCGUGUCGUCUGCAUCAUUCACGAACACAUCGAACCUCACGAGCUUCAAGCUAUCGCAGAUUAUGUCCUCCAGCACCAGCACUUCGUCGGCUUUGCCUUUGGUUGGUUUGGGCACCACAACCCUAUGAGGCUUAUUGAGAGUGAGAGGGAACACAUUGUCUCCGGUCUCCGCCGUCUUGGCGAGAUCUUCGGUAUUGACCGGUUCCGGCCGCUGAGGUGGCCGGCAGGUCAUCCAUGGUGUAUGGCUAUAUUCAUACUCGUAUCCCAUUUUUGUGUGGUCCAAGCAGUCGGCGACCUUAACGCGCACCAGCUUCCUCUUCUCGUUGUAGAACAUGAAGGAGGCGUUGUUGAAGUCGUCGGGGUUGGGGACGACGAGCUCGUUGAUAUCCUUCGGGAAAACGGAUGGGAUCGUUUUCCAUAUAGUCCACAUUCUGUCGACGUUAGCGUGAUGUGCGUAGAAGAGAGGGUCUCUUCCGGCGGAGUAGAAGUUCCCCAUGUCUUCGCGGAAAUUGUUGGCGGGGUUUCCGGUCCAGACAGCCGCCCUCCGACAAUCCUCCCUUGGAGCGUGGCGGGGGCAAGUCUCCGUCAACGUAAGGCUCGCCCAUGAAGUUGGUAGCGGAUUCGACAUCACCAACCAUUUCCUUGUACAGCUGAUUGAGGUUGUUGGAGAUGAUCUGUACGGGAUCGGUGAUCGGGGGGUUGGUUAGGGCAAGAGAAACGAUGGCCGGGGGCCGAUGCGUCGGGUCGCGGUUGACGUCGUAGAGUGGCGACGCGUCCCUGUCGAACAUCGAGGGCAUCUGCAUGCCCCUAGGGUUGUCCCAGUUCCAGUAGGGCAGGGCGAAAUCGAGAUCUCCGAUGAAUUCGCCCAUGAUUCUCUCGAAGAAAUAGAGGUACCACCUGUGUAGGGAUGAAUCCAGAAUUUGUCGUUAGGGGGGCUAAAUCUAAAAGUAUUUGCAGUGGGGGCUCCCGUCCGCAAGACAAUUUUUUUUAACCAUUCCGUAUAGAUUUAAUUGGCUUAACAUUAGAAAUCAGUCACUUACUAUAAAAAAUAGUUGUUCGCAUUCCAUUAAUUCAACAACAAGUACAUUUAAAGCAUAUACAAACCUACCUCUGUGCAAUUUUUUAAAAUAUUAUUUCGACUUCUAAAAGAAUAAACUAAUUUUCAUUGUUAAUUAAUAGUUCAAAAUUUUAGUUUAUCUUGAAGAUUAACUCAAAUUAAAUAUUCAAUAUUACCUAAUUAAACAAAAAUGAGACAAAAAUAACACAAAUUUUUAACAAACUAACCUAGCAAAUCACUGUAAAAUGUUAAGCAAUUCUUUCUUGUAUUUCUUCUAUAUAUUAAAAACAAAAAAAUUAGGGAGGGGGCUUCAGCCCCCGUGGAUCCGCCACUAACCUGUGGAAGGGGAAGAAGAUCCAUGAGUUGUGAACCUGGAUAUCGAUGCCGGGGUGGUCCACCUGGUCGUAGGGGCCGUUGCAGUAAGCGCAGUGGACGUUGGCCUGCUGAGUGAAGCCGCGGGGAUCGUUGGGGUCCGUCACGUCCAGAUCCUUCAUCAUCUGGAUGGCUUUCUCGUACUUGGCUAUGUAUUCCGGUGUCAGCCUGUGCGCCGCCGGCCUCCUGCGAAGCUUUGUGAACGUCGGAAGCGUGUACUCUUCCUCGUCGUCCGUGUAGGGCGGGCAGCAGUUGGCGUCUAGAGAUAUUAUCUCCCCGUUUCUAGAAGUAUAGGCACCUUUGGGAUCACACUUGCUCAGGUCAGGAGGUGAAAUCGGAACCGCCUCAGCUUUGCGGAUGAGGCCGCUUGCGCCGUAUAGACCACCCAGACCAAGCAGCAUGUUUCUGCGGUCUACACGGCCGCCGCCGCCUCCAUCACUGCUGCACGACACCUCAAAGCGGCGCCUCCGCCUGCUGGCGAGCUGGGAGGUGGUGCGGAGGUUGGGGUUGGUCGUGGUCGCCAUCACCAUGAAUGAAGAUUGAAGGGAAGCCAUGCUUGAUUGAUUGAUGCUUGCAUUGCGCUCGAGGCAUGCAUGUCUAUAUAUAGUAGGCGUGGACACGAGUUUUAAGAAAAAUAAUGAUACUUAAUGGGAUUAUUUUCGAAAAUGAAUUAGGAAGAUGUUUUGGAGACGAAAAUAGAAAAUUGACCUUUUGCCAGGCUGCCCUUUCACUAAAUGGUUGUAUGCACUUAUCUUUUUUUUAUCUAUAAAGAGGUAUUUUCUCCAUUUAAAAAACUUAUCGAGGUAAUUAUGAAGACUAUUCAUUUUUAUCGUUGUAAAGUUAAUUAAAUUAUAAAAAUUAAAGUUGAUAAAGUUCUUAUUAAACAUCAUCGCUCUUCUGUCUUUGGACGACAAAAUUAAUUAUUUCAAAUAGAUAAAGAACUUGAUUUUCCGAUAUGGCUUCUCAUACUAAUUAAAUAAUCUAAUCCUAUAAUGUAUUUCAUAUAAAGUUAUCAAAUUAACAAUAUUCUGUGUGAAUUUUUUUGCCUUGAGUGUGUGUAUAGAGGUAGUCAGGGCCGGCCCUGAGGGUGGGCGGGCAUGGGCGACGGCCCAGGGCCCCAAAAAUUUGAGGGCCCAAAAUUUUUAAUAUAUCCUAUUAAUUAUAGAUCUUAUGUAUACUAACAACAUAGUUCAUCUAUUGAUUUUGGGCCCAACAUAAUUUAUUCUCAAAUUUAGAUCUAUACUUAAUAUAGAGAGUUUUCAAUUUGAAAUCAAUUUCAAAGUAAUUUCAAAAUUGAGUGACUAUUUUGUAGUUAUAAUAUUAAUAAAAUUGAAGGUUUAUGUUUAAACUAUAUAUUUUUAUUUUUAUUUUUAUUUUCAUUUUCAUUUUCUUUAACUUCUUAUUUGUUGUUACAUUUCUUUCCAAAAUUGUGAAAUUCAAUUAAUUAUAAAAUAUUUAAUAUGCAUAUCAAAUUAAAGAUCACAAUAAGAGUUUUAAUAUGAUAUAUUUUAUGAAAAAUAUUUGAUUUAAAAUGUAAAAUUUAUGCAUGUUCAAAUAUUAAAGUUUUAUAAAUUUCUCUCACCUCUCUCAUCUUUACGAAUAAAUAUAUUUUUAAUUCUUUUAAAUUAGUAUUUUAUUUUUAAUUUUUUUAACUUAUUUUUUUGUUUUUGUAUUUCAUAAUAUCAAAUUUUAUAAUUGUGAAUUCUUUUUUUAUUUUUUUUAAUAUUCAAUUCAAAUAUAUAUAAUUAAAAUUAAUUUUUUAUUAUAUUUAUAAGUAUAAUAAUUAAAUUAGUAUUAAUUUUAUAUAAAUAGUAAAAACAAAAAAUAUUUCCCGUGCAUGAGAUGCAAAUGGUAGUUGCACCUCGCCGCCGGUAAUAUAUUUAAGUAUAUAAAUUAAUUAAUAUUAACAAGGCGCCCGGUGAUCACCGGAGGCAUCCUUGCCGCUGGUAUUUCUGCCGCUACUUUGAAAAAUACGGCCGUCGGUAAAUCUGGCCGCAAAUUGUGUACGUUUUUUGGUAGUGGUAAUAUAUUAGGGCCCAAUUUUUUAAUUUCGCCCAGGGCCUCAGUUUUGUCAGGACCGGCCCUGGAGGUAGUUAUAGAAUUUAUCUUUUGUGUUCUCAAAGGAACUUAAUUAAGAUCCAAUGUGAUUGAUACAUUUCGACUAAAUGGAUGGGCAAGAUUCUUUUAACGCCCAAUAUUAAUUCCAUCUCAAAUCGGAUCUUAUAUAAUACUGUAUUUUAUAUAUUCUAUAAUGCAUUUUAUAUAUUACGUGUCUAUUAAAUUAACAUUGAUCUUAGGAGUGAUACAAGUUUAAAAAAAAGCUAGCUGUAUAUUUGGUGAGUAGAGAAGGGAUUUCAGAAAUUAGAAAAAAUGGUGAUAGGUAGUGGAAUUAUUUUAAAAAAUGGACUAAAAAGAUGUUUCAUGAACGAACGAAAAUGGCAAAAUAGGAAGAUGAGUCGUGGUCGGAGGAAAUAUUAUAAUGCAUCGUAUCCUUUUUUGGUUCGUAUAAAGAUUUUUAUUUGAUCCUCAUCGAGAACAUGCAUAUUGCGAAUACUUAAUUUAUUUCAAUAUAUAUAUAUUAAUUUAUUGGGAGCAUAUGCUAAAUAAAUUAAAUUAAUCCGAAUCAAAAGCGCUUAAUUAUCACUACAUUACAUGCAUUAUGACAAAAAGCCUGCGGCUAAAGAUCUUCAGUUUAAGUCUAUUGUCAUAUUGUUUUUAAAAUAUUAUUUAUCCAUUCCGCAUAUGGAUUGGUCAGAUUUAGAUACACAAAUCUCAAAUGUAUUUAAUUAACAAAUUGAUUGAUAAAUUUUAGAAUUCAAAAAUUAAAUCAAUCAAAUACGCGUGUCCACAGUCAAUGGAUUGAAAAUAUGCAGGUAUCUAGAUAAGAUAUAUUAUUAUUAUUAUUACACUGUUAACUAUACUGCAGUACACUUUUAUAUAUACAGACAUAAUUAAAAUAUGCAGGUAUCUAGAUAAUAAGAUUAUUAUUACACUAUUAACUAUACUGCAGUACACUUUUAUAUAGAGAUAAUUACUAGAGAUAUGUGCUAUUACCCAUACUUCGCUCGAGACAGAAAUAAAUACGAUUGACCAUUCAAUUAAACACUACGACACCAUACUCGUGCAUGUACUAACGAUCUUAUUAUAAGUGCACCUUCCCGUGCGAUGCACAGGUCAGUAGAAUUGUAAUCGAUAUUGAUGUGAAUAUCAUCAUAUUCGAUUCGUAUUUGUGAAAAUACUCUAAUAUUUGAUUCAGCAUUCGAUUCGAUCACGAAUACUAAAUACGAUCCCAUAUUCGAUUCGAUGUUAUUUUUGAAUUAUUUGAUACAUUUUUUAAAAUUAAUUAAAUAAUUUUUUUACGAAUAUUCGAUUCGUUUUCCAUCAUAUUCAAUUCAAAACUAUUCGAUUUGAAAUUCUGAAGGAAAAAAUAUGUUAAAUAAUAUUCUAAAAAAUAUAGGAUUAUAUCCAAUAUAUUUACCUAAUAAUUAAACACACAAUAAUAAAGUGUUCAAUUCAUAUUGUUUUAUGUCCCGUGGUUUGUUUCUAGGAUUGUGGUAAUAAAGACUGAUUGGAUCAGUCUAGUACAGUUGUUGUUUGAAUUUGUAAUUUUGUGUAACGGCAUUGUCAUCUUGUUGAGAUUAAUAGGAGUUAAUUUGUUUAAUUAAUUAUUCAUGAGUUUCUUAUAAGAUACCUUCCUUCGUUCCGUAAAAAUAGUCAUAAUUUUUCAUUUUAGAACGUCCAUAAAAAAAUAGUGUUAUUCCAUUUAUAAACAAUUUAGAUCCUUACCUUUGGGAUGAGAUAAAAUGAAAUUCCAUUUUAAAUCAUAAACUAGCUAUAUAGGAAGCAUUUUCAGCUCUUGAAUUCAUCUGUUGUUCGAAUUUCAUAGGAAGCAAGUUUUUUUGACUCAUUAUUUUCACAGCGAAUUCAUCAUGUUACACAUACCCUAAAGUGAUAUAUUUACCCUAUUUGAUAACAUGAUAAGUAUAUUUGAAGCGCUCACUAUUUUAUUUGAACUUUAUUAUCGAGUUUAAACGAGUUUUGAAAUAUUGAAUUAAAUUGAAAUAUCCAUGUUGAUCGUUUAAGAAGCAAAUUUUUGGCAUGGGUUUAUAAAAAAUACAUCCUAGCCUCCAUCCCUAAUAAGUGCGGUGUGAAGGAGUGGGCAAUAGUUCUUUAAAAAUAAUUGAGAGAUGUGUAUAAAGUGGAUAAAAUGGCUUACUAGAGCUGAUUUGUUAGGCCUUACUUUCUCUCUGCCCCACUAAAAUAAGCUCAAUUCUUUUGAGAACAUAGAUUAAUAAACUUUCUUUUGAGAAGAAAAUUAAAGUGGUGGCAAAAGUAAUGUGGUCCAUACCAAUUAAGCAAUUUGAGUACAUUUUUUUUUUCACUCAAAAGGAAAACGAGCCUAUUCUAGCGGGACAUUCCAAAAUAGAAAACGAGCAUAUUCUGCUGGGACGAGGGAAUAAUAAAUUGUUUGUGAGAUGAGUAGUUUGUAAAUAUUGUGUGUGAAAGGUGUAUGUCUUAAAUUGAAAAGACCAUACCUGUAUUGUGAUUGUACGGAAAGGUGGAACUGAGCAUCGCGGCGGCGGCGAGGCAGGAGGCGGCGGUGGUGAGGAGAAUCGAGAGAGAGAGAGAAAGAUGCCAGCAGACAGUGACGGAGGGCAGUGGGCGGCCCUUGGCGGCAGCGGAGACGACAAGGUACUGGCUGUGCCAGAAUUAUUUAGUUGCAUAGGAUCCUUCCAAAUGUAAUUACUGAUUCACUGUUGGAUUAACAAGAAUUAAAUUACUUCAUAAUACAGUAUUCCAACUGUUCGAUAAAAGCCCUUAAUGAAAUCUUCCAUAGAUUACUUUGCAAAGUUCAUAAAAUUACUCAAAAGCAUUGUUGCAUAGUCCGUACAUAGAGAUGGUCGAUUAUCUUAAUUAUGUCUAGAUUUAUUUACGACACACACACACACACAUCACAAAAUCACACAUACUGACUAAUAAGGUUCCCGAAAGCCGGCAUUAUUAGGCGCCAUGGUGGCCGUGAAAUACCAUGAGACGAUAUCAUGGGUGGUGGGUCCGUCUAGUCUGGUGGCGGCGGAGAGCCCUACCUGAACCUGCUAAGGAAGAAAGCCGCUCAAAUCAUACUCAUAGCUGACUUCAAACGUCUUCGAGCCGGCGGUGGCACGGACGGCGAUCUACUUUGUGGAGGCGGCGUAGUUGAUCCUCGCCGUCACCUGCUGCUCGAGUAUGGAGCCGUCGACCUCCGUCGUGUUUCGGGAUGACCUAGACCCGAUGUCGAUGCCGAUGUGGGGAUAGUUCGGAUCCCACGCGCUGUUGACGUAGGUGUCGAACUCGACGGCAAAUACCGAGGGGUUGCUGCCGGAGGAGCCGAAGAUUCCGAGGUUGGCCCCGCUGGAGCCGGUGGGGAUGGUGGAGCGGCGAGAUUGGUGAUGCUGGGUGUGGUGAUGAAGUUUACGGUGGUUUCAAAGUCGACUUGGCCACCGGCUUGGGAGAAUUGGACCGGGUUCGUGUACAAGACCCGGCCGACACUACCGAUCUGCGGUCGCCUUGGUAGGUGAGGUCGGUCGGCUGGUUGUCCCAGAAGUUAUAGGCGAAGGCCGUUGAUCGGGACUUCGCCCUGUUGGUGGCGACGGCGAGAAGAAGGGCGAUGGAGAUUAGGGUUUGGAGAAGGUUGGCCAUGGCUUAGUUGUGCAGUGAAUGAUGUCUACUACUUGCUCCUAUUUAUAAUGAUCGAAAAUAUCUACUACUUACCUACCACAGAUCCACAUCAGGGGCCCUGGAUGGGGUGGUCGACUACAUAAGCCCAAAAAAAUAAGGGCUCGGAAAAUAUAUAGAUCCAUGUAAGUAUUAUAUAUAUGUAUAAAAUAAUUAAAAGCCAACUAAUGAUUGAAUUGAUUAACUUGGCGCAGUGGAAAAAGGACAUUUUUAAUUCCUCUUAAUUACCAAUAUUUUAUUUAGUGACCAAUUUUUUUGUUUAGAUAUAGGGCCCAGCCCCUAUUUUGAUAAAUUAAGUGUAUGUAUUUCAAAUUAACAUUAUUUUAAGUUGUCGAAUUUUUUUGUUAAGAUUUAGGGUCCAGCCCCUAUUUUGUUAAAUUAACUUUAUUUUAAGUGAAUGACAUAAUUAUUAAUAUAUUUAUUAAUUAUUAUGUAAUUUGAUAAAAAAAUGUUUUAAAUAAUUUUAGUUUAUAAUUAAUUUAUUUCUCAAUUAUAAAUAAAUGGCCUAAAUUAAAAAAUUCGCAAAGGGCCUAUGUUCUCUUAGCCCUACCCUUGCACUGUUGCACAUGGUAUAUAUAUCUAUUCUAUGAAUAUAAGUGAUUAUUUUAUAAACCACGUGAAAGCACUUGUUCCCACUAGCACUAUAAAAGCAAUAAAUACAACGGAAAGAAAAUAAAUUACAAUUGAAUACAUUAGGAGAAAAAUUACUUCUAACCUAUGGAAUUACUAACAACGAUACUUAUACCAAAGCUAAAUUGGACCAACUAACUGUACACUCUUGUAUUAUAUCAACCUACCAGACCUUAGUAUUCACGAGUCUCCCACAGUCUAGACUGAUUCACAAUAUAUACCAACAUUGGAACAAGUUCAGUAAUACACUCUAUUUAUAUAUAUUAUUAUAUACACAAAAAUGCAUGGCUGCUGUGGUAUUACGGAAGGAUCGAGAAUUACUCGAUCCUUGGGAAAAGGUUCAAAUGAAACCUUUAUUAUUACUCUCCGUCCCCCAAAUAAUAUCAUAUCCGAUUUGGGAUAUUACCCCACCACUAAUAAUACUUUAUUUAUUCUAACUUCUCAAUCUUUCACCAUUCUCAAUACUAAUUAUAACACAUUUUCAUCACUUUCAAUACUAAUUAUAAUUUCUUUUCUCCACUGCUAAUACGUACACUUAACAAUUUUUCCUUAAAACCAGUGUCGUCCCCUACUAAGAAGUUAUUUGGGGGACGUAGGGAGUAUUUUUUAAUGAUAUGGCAUCCAAAUAUGUUGUGACAAUCCAGUGAGCAAUAUCAACUUUUUGGAGCUGAAAACCGAUGUGAGGUACAACUAAUACACAAUAUGUUGUGGCAAUCCAGUAAUAUACCCUAAGGAUGCGUCAUCUUUUGUUGUAAAUUUAUCAUGGAAAAAUGAGGGAUAAACAAAAUUUCACCCAUUAAAUCCUUCAUUUUUUCCCUCAUUUCUUACAAAAUAGAAUUUGACCCUUACUCAUUUCUCAUUUUCACUGCAAAGGGGGGCUAAUAUUAUCUCUCUAUUUUUGGUAUAAUGAAGAAUUUGAUACGUAAUUACAAUUAAUUAUAAUGAAGUGUGUAUUUUAGUUGCUCAUAUUCUUGGAUUAUUUAUGCUUUAAUGAAACGAUCCACUGCCUUUAACAUUUUGGCAUUUUAAAGUAAACGCCGAAAUGCAACGAUCCACUGCCUUUUAAGUAAACACCCUUGCUAACCCCUGCAUGCGUUUUUUCAUCAAACACUUGGGUUCAUUCUUUUAGGCAUUUUAUCAAACAGUUGUGCUCAGCCUCAUCCUUUUGAUCACAUUCCCAUAUCUCUCCUUAUAUGAAACCGCAUUUUCUAUUUCUCAUAUAUUUCCUAUAUAAUAUUUCCAUCAUUUCUAGCUCAACAAUAAUUCUUCUAGCAAAAUUAUCAUUUCAAAUGCACUCUUUUCCUUUUCUACUUUCUCUUCUGCAUAACAGAAAUACUAAUCCACCAUAAAAUAAUCAUAACUUUUUCUUAAUGAUACGAUGAGGGCACAAAGUUGAGAUGAUAAAAUCAUACAUAUUGGCGAAUGUUGCCGCCGGCUUCCUCUGACUUUUGGAUGCUGAGGGGAGGGGUGGCGGUGAAAUACCAGGAGUUGAUGAUGAAUUUGAUGGUUGUUUCCAUGUCCACCUGCCGCAGAGACCGAGAUACGAUUUUAGAAACAAACGGCAAAAUUACAAUUUCACAUAUAAAAAAUAAAAGACAAUUAAUAAAGCGCAUAAUAUUGGUAAGAUGCUUCCAACCAAUAGGUCGGGAUUGUAUAUCGUGUGAGUGUGUUUUUCAUUUUUUAGUAAUAACAUGUCGUGCUCGGGGCUUUUUUCCGUAUCUGCCCCUGCUUCCCGUCGUCGUGCCCGACUCGUCGGUUUUUGUCAUGCGGAGGUAGGUGGUGGCGUCGGUGAAGUUGGCGUCGCCUUCCAAGCGUAGGCCUUCCGAAUGUGGCGGCUUUUGGUAGAAGUCGUAGGUGAAGGAGACUGCAUCGCCGACCGACACGGUGGCGAGGAGGAGGGCGAUGGAGGAGAGGAGAGGAAUUAAGGUUUGGAGAAGGUUGGCCAAUUUGAUUAAAUGUAUUUGGAUGUAGUGGAUGAUGGUGUAUCGAUCUCUUGCUCCUAUUUAUAGUUGUAAAUAUAUAUUAAUAAUGGUAUCAUUCAAUCAUUAUACUUUAGGCCGGCCGGGCCGGAUCCUCUAUUCCAAAUUCUAUGUCUCAUUGUUCAUAUUCACUAUUAAUUUCACUAUUUCAAUAAUUAAAAAAAUUCAUAGAGUUUGGGGCAGAGGAUCCCGUUUGAAUCCCACAUGGAUCCUCUGUCCCAUAACUUAUUGUGUUCCUUCCCAUUAUUAAUCUCGAUAUUAUAUUUCUACUUUGGAGUUAAUUCAUUAUAAACCCAUGAAAGAUCAGACGAAAUUCAUCCAAUAAACAUUUAUAAAUUUAUAUUUAAAUUUUGUUUCGCGGGUAUCUGAUAGAUAAUAGGUAUUCGUGGGUGGCGAAUUUGGGUAGCAUUUGAUAUUCAUAGAUAGUUUCAUGAUUAAAAUCCAAUAUUCAUUUAGUUCACGGGUAUGGUAUGACAGCCACUAUCUGUGUACGUCAUACCUGAUUGCCAGUAUGACAAAUAUAAAAGUUGUGAGAUGCACAGCAGCUUAAUUAUUCAAAUAGAAAUAUCAUCACAUGUGCAUUGAUAUUUCACAAAAUAAAUACUACUACUAAUAAAUACUCCCUCCGUCCACCAAAGAUAUGCCACUUUACUUUCGGUACGAGUUUUAAUAAAAUGUGAGUGAAGUUGGUAGUGGAGUAAGGGUCCCACUUUAAAUGUGAGUGGAAUGGUAUGGACCUUACUACUAAAAAUGGAUGUGGCAUAUUUUUCGUGGACGAACGAGAAAGAAAAUUGUGGCAUAUCUUUGGUGGACGGAGGGAGUAGUACUCAUUGAUAAUGCAUGCCAACACAUGGUUCUUGCAAGUCAUAUAUAUACCUCAUCAGCAAUAUAGUAAAAUGAUGAUUUGACAACCAGAUUAAGACACCAAUUAUUCUUGUCGGGACACAGACAUAUAUGCAUAUAGAAUUAAUAUUAUUUACUAUUUCGUUUAUACACGUGAAUUAUGCUUUGGAUGCAACAUCGCCACGUCUCUUUCAUUUAUACUUCUCUAGUGUAUUGCGGACAAAAUAGUUAGUGUCUUUAAGAAAUUAAAAAUUUUCAAAUACAUAAGAAAGAAUAAUUAAUCUAAUUGGUGCGCCGGCAACUAAAACUUUUUUCAAUUCACUUUAUAUUUUAUAUACUCCCUCCGUCCACGAUUUAAUGCCCCAUUUUAGUGUGGGCACGGAGACUAAGAAAACUGAAAAAGGUGAUGUGAAUGAAAUAUAAGGGUAGUUGACUAAAGUGAUAAAGAUGCUGUGAGUGGGUUCACUAGUGAUAAAGUAUAGGAAAUAUAGAAUAUAAAAAUGAUAAAGGUGUUUUAAGUUGGGUCCAUUAGUGGCAAAGAGUAAUAAAUAUAGAAAAAGAAGAGUAAAAAAGUACAAAAAGCAUAAUAGGGCUUUAAUUUGUGGACAAAAAAUUAAGAGCAAGUAGGGCUUUAAAUUGUGGACGGAGGGAGUAUUUAACAUUACAAGUCAAUUGCUUGCAGAAUUUGAGCUUGUCUCCCGUGAUGGAGACCUCACCAUGCGGCAACCCGUGCCUGCGCCUGCCUUUUUUCUUCCCGUCUUGCUCUAUCCAGAUAUUAUACGUGAUCCAACUCUUUCCAGAUAUUAUACGUAAAUGAUAAUUUUACUAACAAAAAUUACACUUUUUAUCAAUAACAAAUGAAACUAUGCAUACAAAACAGGAGGUAAAUGAUAUUUUUCUUAAUAACAACUGAUACUUUUUCAAUGCAAAUAAUACUUCGCAAAUGAUAUUUUAAUAUAAAAGUAAAUGAUACUUUGUAUAAAAAUAAAUGUUAUAUUACAAAUGACACUUUUAAUGCAUACCAAUGACACUUUUAAUAACAAAAAUUGAGAAAAAAAAAUUAGAAUUCGGCCUUAAUUAAAAUUUGGACAACAUUUAUUUGGGCAAAGAAGAAAAACACCUGAAUUUUUUUUUUUCCUUUUUUGAGAGAGAAAAACUCAUGAAAUUUCAUGCAAAAGGUAAUGCAUAGCCAACCGGGCUCAAUCAUCUUUCGGCGGUUUUGGUUUGAUUCUUCCAACAUCUAGGGUAGCAUUCACACAAAAUCAACUCGUGUUCAAAAAUCUGAAAUUAAAAUUAACGAUGUGUCUCAGUAUAGAGAUAAGAACAUACCCCUCAAAUGGUUCGAGCCAAGGUCUAAUUCCUUCAGCAGUGUGAUAUUCCAAAUUUGAGUAGGCAUAUAUCCGCCAAAGUUGUUGUCUGACAAGCGAAUACUCUCAAGUUGUGGACAUUGGUACAAACUCGAUGGUAUAUCUCCUUCCAAAUUGUUAAAGGAUAGGUUCACUAGUUUAAGUCUUUGAAGGUUAUUGUACGUGCNUAGACAACAAGAAAUAUCUAUUGUCUAUUCUAUGACAAAAAAAUUAAAAAAUUCUAAUAUAUCUGCAUCCCUGUAUUACAAUACCAAUAUAUAUGAAAAAAUAAAAAUAAUUAAAAAUCAAAUAAUCAAACAAUACUUAUAAACCACUAAUACUCACAAUCAAAUAUUUACACAUCAGUGUAAAUAUUGGGUUCGAGUCCUCUGCGUGUGUUGAUCAAGCGGUAAGGGGUUAAUGCCUAAGGUCAAAGGUCUGGGAUUCGAGUCCCCUGUGGUGUAGCCUUUUAAUUUCGUUAUUUAAUAUUGUAAAUUUAUAAAAAAAAAAAAGUAUAUUUACACAUCAACAAUUGUAUUAUCUUUAAUACGCCUUCAUUCAUCUAAUAAAAAAAAUCUCUAAUAAAAUCUCCAACUAACUCCGGUCAUGAUCAUCUCUUGAAGGCGGAGGAAGGUGGAGUCCGUCGGGAAAUGGGUACUGCCUUGAUAGAUGAGAUCUUUCGGCUGGUCGCCCCAGAAGUCGUAGGUGAAGGACGUCGUUUGGGACAACGCCGUGUUGGAAACGGAGAGGAGGAGGACGAUGGAGGAGAGGAGAGGAGUUAAGGUUUGAAGAAGCUGGUUGGCCAUGGCUUAAUUGAUUUAGAUUUAGAGAUGUGGUGGAUGAUGGUGGUAUCGAUCUCUUGCACCUAUUUAUACUAGUAUGGUUCAUGCCUGUUAAUAAUUGUAUAUAUCAAUCAUCGUGCAUCUAUCCCAAAUUAUAUGUCUUAUUAUUCACUAAUUAGAUGGAUUAAAUCCUGAUUAGUAACCAUAAAAUUAAACUGUCAAUGAGGCCUUGCUCUAGUGGCAAAGCUGUGACACCGAAUAACUUUUCUUUGUGAAAUGUCUUGGGUUCAAUCUCGCCUGCAUGCGGUGAUGUGUGUCCAUUUUAGGUGGUGUGGUAUUCUUGUCUGCGUGCGGUGUUGUAUUGUUUAGUGUUGAGGUCCCACAUGCAGAGCGUUCUUGCCUGUGUACGUGUCACAGCCCAAAACCAUUUAUUUUCUUUACAAAUUUUAUAUAUGAAAAUUAUUUAAUUUUUAAGUUAUAGAGUUUUUGAAAUAUAUAUAGUAUCAAUUUUAUGUUAACUUAGUCGUGUCCCUAAUUAAAAGAAUGACUUUAAAAUAAAACUUAAGCCUUAAAAAUUUAAUCUACAUUCAUAUAUAACUGAAAUUACAUGCAUGUCUAAAUAUUAUUUAUAAUUAUCAAUAACAAGAUUAAUGAUUCUAUAUCUCUAUGUUUAUACAUGUAUUCACGUAUGACAUAGUAUAUAUUAGCUAUUAAGUUAAAAACUAAUAAAAUACUACACUUUUGCAUAGGAUAUAUAUUUAAUUAGUAGUAGGAUAGGACACGUGUAUUAAUUUUAAGGGCAAGUAAUCAAACUUUUGAAUGAUUCAUCAUGCUUAAAAAAAAAAGAGACCUAGAUAGAUGAUUCAUCAGAUUCAAAAACAAGUAUAAAUAGACUUCGGGUUUGAAAUUUUAAUUAAUUUGCAACAACAAUUCAAACUGACUGUAUUAAGGUAAGUAGUUACAGAUUUCAUACACAUAUUAUAUGAUUUCGCACACAUAUUAAGGUAAGUAUAUAUAAAUAUUUUUUAAAAUCAUAUAUUAUAUAAUAAUUAUAUUUAAGUUUUAUAUUAUUCUUUAUAAACUAUUGUUUCAUUCUAUAUAAUUAGGUGUGGCACGACUAGGACGUAACUUUCUAUUGAAUUUCUCAAGUUAAUCUUAGAGUUCAAGUUUCAGGUGUGAGAUUUAUUUAAAUACAUGUCGUACGUGGUUAUUUAUUGUCCAUUUUAAUAAGAUGUGUUUACCAUAUGUGUUAUGACGCAUAUUUUUAGGAUAUCACUAGGUGCCCAUAAAUAGGAUCCAGGACUUCACCGUCCUUGGAUUGCCACAAUGCGAUUUGAGGUUUAUUUUGAGGAUGUCGUUAGGGGCCCGUACAUAGGGUCCAGGACUUUAAUAGUCAUUGGGUUGCCAUAGUGCAAAUAUUGAGGAUAUAUAUGAAGUGACCGUAUGUGUUACCGUUUCAUUAACGUGGACAAUGAUUGCAUGUUUAAGAGACAAUAACCAAUUUUUCAGACAUUUGUGAACAAAAUGAAGCAUGUUUAGAGAUCCUUAAUACAGGUGUACGAAAUGAUGGAUAAAUAAGUUUGUGAAACAAAUUUCACCAUACCUAACCCCACAAUUAUUUGCGGUCGAAUUUCCUCGUCACAGGAAAAAGAGAUGAUGACAAAAGGGAAAAAAUUAAUUAACAAAGUAGAAGAUGCAUGACAACUGUAAAAGAAAAAUAAUGCUACUAAUUAAAUAGUCCAAACUUCAUACGUUUCAUAUCAUAAGUGGCAGUUCUAUUUUUUUUUUUGCGAAUGUGAACAAAAUAACGAAUAAUUUUUAAAGUAAUAGUAAUAAGGAGAUGUGUUUUGACAGAAAACGACAUGAGCGGCCUAAAAAUAAGAGGGAAAAAGAUAAUCAUAUAAAUAUUCAAAAUCAAACGGAUUGGCAUGUAUUCAUCAUUUUUUAUUUUUUAUUUUGAUAAUUUAACAGUACUCCCUCCGUCCGUCAAAAGUAGACCACUUUGGUUGGGCACGGGAUUUAAUAAAAUUAGUGAUGAUUUUGAUGUAGUAGAGAAAGAGUUCCACCACUUUAUGAGAUGUGUGGUUGAGAUUGAAUUUGUUGUGAUUUUUUUGUAAAUAAAGAGUGUUUGUAAGGAUAAAAGAUUAAAGUGGGUGGUGGGACCAUUUCCAUAAAAGGAAAGUGGUCUACUAUUUGCGGACGCCCAAUAUAGUAAAAGUAGUCUACUUUUGGCGGACGGGGAGAGUAUUAAAUAAAUAAAUUUAAAGGUUGCACCCCUUACUGCUUGGCUUUUAGAUUAUGUUAUAAUAAUAAAAUUAACAGCACGUUUACAAUAUAAAAUUAAUUAUGAUAAAUACAAUAUAUUAAUAAUAAAUACUCAAUUACCUCUUAACAUAAUUCGCGCAUCAUGGCUUUUAGCUUAUAUUAUAAAGAUAUAAUAUGUUGUCUAUAAUAAUCGACGGAAGGUAAUAGACAACAUGUUUUAUAUGUUGUCUAUAAUAAUAUAGACAGUAGAUCUAGUGUUAUAGAUAACAAUUAAUACUUGUUGUCUAUAUGAUGAUAGACACCAAAAAUCUCUGUUGUCUAUUCUAUGACAAAAAAAUUUAAAAAAAUUCUAAUAUAUUUACAUCCCUGUAUUACAAUACCAAUAUAUAUGAAAAAAUAAAAAUAAUUAAAAAUCAAAUAAUCAAACAAUACUUAUAAACCACUAAUACUCACAAUCAAAUAUUUACACAUCAACAACUGUAUUAUCUUUAAUUACGCCUUCAUUUAUCUAUUAAAAAAAAUCUCUAAUAAAAUCUCUAACUAACUCCGGUCAUCAUCUCUUGAAGGCUUAGAAAAUGUCCAAAUACAGCGGCACAUGCUCAUUAUUGUGUGAGCGAUGAGAACUUUGCGCUGAACCUAUAAAGUAACUAUACUUAACUGGUAAAGUAAUUGUAUCCCGUGAAUCUAAAGGAAGACUACACACGUUGAUAGAGUUUGAAAGAAAAGAAUAAAGAGAAUGAAAAUCCAAAGAAUUUGCUUCUUCCGUUGAACAAUCCCUACACAACAUUGAAAUAUCAAUGAAAAUAAUGGCUAUCGUAUACUCCCUCCAUCCAUGAAAGAACUUCAUAGGAGGGAGUGACACGGGUUUUAAGAAAAAAUAUUGUUAAGUGUAUUGAGAGUGGAUAAAAGGUAGUUGAGUGUAUUGGGAGUGGUGAAAAUGUGUUAUAGUUAAUAUUGAGAGUUGUGAAAAGUGAAAAGUAAGAGGAUUAUAAGUGGUGGGGUAUAGUCCAAAAAUAGGUAGGAAGUUCUUUUGUGGACGUCCCAAAAAGGAAAGAUAUGAAGUUCUUUCGUGGACGGAGGGAGUAUUAUUUUGCAGCAGCAACCACGUUUGAAAACUCGAUCCCUCUGUUCUUGAAUUUGUGAAAUUUCCGACUGAUUUAUUAGAUUCACCAUUUAUUUCAGUUUAAUUAGUCUAUAUAUAGAUAUUUCUUAUAUUAUUAAAUUGUUAACCUCAUGGUAGAUUUCAAGAUUUGAAAAUUCAACAAAGAGCUUGAGAAUUAUUGAGAUUGGAAGGGGAAGAUGAAACAUAAUUGGGUGAAAUUAGAAACCAAUUAAAGUCACAAGAUUGAACAAAAACAUAACUUAAAAACACAAAAUAAGCAAAUCGUAGAUGCAGUAUCUUGCAAGAAAAAGUUCAUAUUCCCAAGGCUAUGAUGAGCACGAAUUAGGGUGUGUCUGCAUUUUAUCCCUCUAAAUAGAGGAAUAACAAAAUUUUAUUCUUUAAAUGUUUGCUUUCUUAUCACACAUUCUACACAAACACCAUUUUUUCUUCCUUAUUUUCACUUCAAGGAGGANUAAUAUUAUCCCUCCAAUUUUGGUGUGAUAAUAUUAUCUCUUCUUGAAGUGAAAAUAAGGAAGAAAAAAUGGUAUUUGUGUAGGAUGUGGGAUAAGAAAGCAAACAUUUAAAGGUAUAAAUUUUUGUUAUUCCUCAUUUAGAGGAAUAAAAAGCAAACACACAUUAGAGUCUACUUACAAUUUAGGCGCAGGCUGUGCGAGAAUUACUUAGUCGAAUAGGAUCCUAAGUAUUUAUAUUUCUCAUGUUCUUGUGUAUUUUUUUACUGAUUCACUAUUGGAUUAACAAGAAUUAUCUUACUUUAAAUUUCUUGCUUUAAAAAAAAAAAAGAAUUAUCUUACUUCAUGUAUGGUAUGCCAACUGUUCGAUAAAGGUCCUUUUAGAAAUCUUCUAUUGAUUACCUUGCGAAGACCACAAAACUAGACACACCCAAAAGCAUUCUUGCAUAGUUUAUACAUAGAGAUGGCCGAUUGAUGAUCGUCUUAUUUGUAGACUUAACGCGAGCAGACUCGAUCGCUUAGUCCUUAUUGAUUUACGACACACAUGCUCACACACACACAUACACACAUCACAAAAUCACACAAAUUGACGGAUAAUGUUGCCGUUCAGCUCCUUCCUGAACCUCACCGCGGCAUUUUUCUGCACCAUAGUGGCCGUGAAAUACCACGAGACGAUGUCAUGGACGGCGACGUGUUGUCCGGUGGCGGCGGAUAGCCCGACCUGAACCUGCUGAGGAACAAAGUCGCUCAAAUCGUACUCAUAGUUGACAUCAAAUGUCUGCGAGCCGGCGGUGACUUUCACGGAGAUCAUCCUUGUGGCUCCGACGUAGUUGAUCCGCGCAGUCACCUGCUGCCCGAGUAUGGAGUUGUCGACCUUCGUCGUGUUGCUGGAUGCCCUAGAGCCGAAGUCGAUGCCGAUGUGGGGAUAGAGCGGAUCCCACGCGCCGUUGACGUAGGUGUCGAUUUCGACGGCGAAGACCGAGGGGCUGUUGCCGUUGGAGCCAAAGAUUCCGAGGUUGGCUCCGUUGGAGCCAGGGGGGAUGGUGGAACCGACGGGGGCAAUGAAGAAGGCGAGGCCGUCGGCAGGCUCGUUGUCGGCGCCCGGGGUGAUGAUGAAGUUCACAGUGGUUUCGAAGUCGACCUGCCCACCGGACUGCGAGAAUUGGACCGGGUUCGAGUGCAAGACGCGGCCGACUUGUGAGGGCUGUGCGUCUGUGAGGCGGAGGAAGGUGGAGUCCGUCGGGAAAUGGGCGCUGCCUUGAUAGAUGAGAUCUUUCGGCUGGUCGCCCCAGAAGUCGUAGGUGAAGGACGUCGUUUGGGACAACGCCGUGUUGGAAACGGCGAGGAGGAGGGCGAUGGAGGCGAGGAGAGGAGUUAAGGUUUGAACAAGCUGGUUGGCCAUGGCUUAAUUGAUUUAGAUUUAGAUUUAGAGAUGUGGUGGAUGAUGGUGGCCAGGUAUCGAUCUCUUGCACCUAUUUAUACUAGUAUGGUUCAUGCCUGUUAAUAAUUGUAUAUAUCAAUCAAUCAUCGUGCAUCUAUCCCAAAUUAUAUGUCUUAUUAUUCACUAAUUAGAUGGAAUAAAUCCUAAUUAGCAAUCUUAAAAUUACACCGCCAAUGAGGCCUUGCUCUAGUGGUAAAGCUGUGGCACCGAAUAACUUUUCUUUGUGAAAGGUCUUGGGUUCAAUCUCGCCUGCAUGCGGUGAUGUUUGUCCAUUUUAGAUGGUGUGGUAUUCUUGCCUGCGUGCGGUGUUGUAUUAUUUAGUCUUAGGCGUUCUUGCCUGUGUGCAUAUCACUGUGUGACAAUUAAAAGAAUGACUUUAAAAUAAAAGUUAAGCCUUAAAAAUUUAAUCUACAUUCAUAUAUAACUGAAAUUACAUGCAUGUCUAAUUUUUUUAAUAUCAUAACAAGAUAAGAUUUAUUAAAUAAUUCAGAUGCAUAAAUAAAAAGUUAAUCUAUAAACACAGUAUAGAUAUAUUAUCAAUGAUAGGCCGUGUAUAAGUCUUAAUCUGUAAAACUAUAUCAUCCCAGCCUUAAACGACUACCAUUCCUGCUUUCCCAGAGCAACCACACUGUUCCCACCCACAAAGCUUUAAGCAGUACAUGCAUGUCUAAAUAUUAUUUAUAAUUAUCAAUAACAAGAUUAAUGAUUCUAUAUCUCUAUGUUUAUACAUAUAUUCACGUAUGACAUAGUAUAUAUUAGCUAUUAAGUUAAAAACUAAUAAAAUACUACAGUUUUGCAUAGGAUAUAUAUUUAAUUAGUAGUAGGAUAGGACACGUGUAUUAAUUUUAAGGGCAAGUAAUCAAACUUUUGAAUGAUUCAUCAUGCUUAAAAAAAAAAAGAGACCUAGAUAGAUGAUUCAUCAGAUUCAAAAACAAGUAUAAAUAGACUUCGAGUUUGAAAUUUUAAUUAAUUUGCAACAACAAUUCAAACUGACUGUAUUAAGGUAAGUAGUUACAGAUUUCAUACACAUUAUAUGAUUUCGCGCACAUACGUAUGUAUAUAUAAAUAUUUUUUAAAAUCAUAUACUCCCUCCGUCCCCAAAAUAAGUUCCUCUUUGGGGACGGCACGGAUUUUAAGGAAAAGUGGUAAAGUGUAUUAAUAGUGGAGAAAAAUAUGUUAUAAUUAGUAUUGGAAGUUGUGAAAAGGUGAAAAAGUGUUAUAAUUAGUAUUGGGAGUGGUGAAAAAGUGAAAAGUAAGAAUAAAUAAAGUAUUAUUAGUGGUGGGGUAGUUGUCCAAAAAUGGAAAAAAAGAAAGAGGAACUUAUUUGGGGGACAUCCCAAAAUGGAAAAAGAGGAACUUAUUUCAGGGACGGAGGGAGUAUUAUAUAAUAAUUAUAUUUAAGUUUUAUAUUAUUCUUUAUAAACUAUUGUUCCAUUCUAUAUAAUUAGGUGUGGCACGACUAGGACGUAACUUUCGAUUGAAUUUCUCAAGUUAAUUUUCAAGUUCAAGUUUCAGGUGUGAGAUUUAUUUAAAUACAUGUCAUGAUUAUUCAUUGUCCAUUUUAAUAGUAUGUGUUUACCAUAUGUGUUAUGACGCAUAUUUUGAGGACAUCGCUAGGAGCCCAUAAAUAGGGUCCAGGACUUCACCGUCCUUGGAUUGCCACAAUGCGAUUUGAGGUUUAUUUUGAGGAUGUCGUCAGGGGCCCGUAAAUAGGGUCCAGGACUUUAAUAGUCAUUGGGUUGCCACAGUGCGAAUAUUGAAGAUAUAUAUGAAGUGACCGUAUGUGUUACCGUUUCAUUAACGUGGACAAUGAUUGCAUGUUUAAGAGACAAUAACCAAUUUUUCAGACAUUUGUGAACAAAAUGAAGCAUGUUUAGAGAUCCUUAAUAAAGGUGUACGAAAUGAUGGAUAAAUAAGUUUGUGAAACAAAUUUCACCAUACCUAACCCCACAAUUAUUUGCGGUCGAAUUUCCUCGUCACAGGAAAAAGAGAUGAUGACAAAAGGGCAAAAAUUAAUUAACAAAGUAGAAGAUGCAUGACAACUGUAAAAGAAAAAUAAUGCUACUAAUUAAAUAGUCCAAACUUCAUACGUUUCAUAUCAUAAGUGGCAGUUCUAUUUUUUUUUUGCGAAAGUGAACAAAAUAACGAAUAAUUUUUAAAGUAAUAGUAAUAAGGAGAUGUGUUUUGACAGAAAACGACAUGAGCGGCCUAAAAAUAAGAGGGAAAAAGAUAAUCAUAUAAAUAUGGGUUAAUUGCCUCUAAAUACACCACCUUUCCUUGAAUUCUACAAUUGCACAUCACCUUUAAAAUCCGCCCUUAAAUACACCACCUUUCCUUGAGUUCUACAAUUGCACAUCACCUUUAAAUCCGCCCCAAAAUACAUCAUCUUUAUAUUUUUUCUGUUUUUGCACAUGACUAAAAAAUUCUCAAGAAAUAAAUUAAAGUGUUAAUUUAUAAAUUUAAAUAUCUUUUUAGCAGCGAAAACAUAAUAAAAUAAAAUUCUUUAUAAAGUUUAAAAUCAUAUAUAUAUAUAUAUAUAUAUAAGUAUUUUCGUAAAGAAAUAAAUUCUCUAAUAAAUUUUUAGAAAGAACUUGAAUUAAAAAAAUAAACAAGUCAUGACAUUAAGAAAAUAAAAUGAAAUUUUUAUUUUAAUAAAUUUCACACGAAUUCGAUAUAAUUUGGAAUUUAGAGUUACAAUAAUCAGAAGUACCACAUGAAUAAUAUAAUGAGUUUGAAAGAAAUUUUUUUUAAAGAGGUUCGACACGCCCAUUCGACUUUCCACGCGCCUCCAAUGUCAUUUACCUGAAAUAUUAANUAUAUAAGUAUUUUUCGUAAAGAAAUAAAUUCUCUAAUAAAUUUUUAGAAAGAACUUGAUUAAAAAAUAAACAAGACAUGACAUUAAGAAAAUAAAAUGAAACUUUUAUUUUAAUAAAUUUCACACGAAUUCGAUAUAAUUUGGAAUUUAGAGUUACAAUAAUAAAAAGAACCACAUAAAUAAUAUAAUCAGUUUGAAAGAAAUAUAUAUAUAUUUUUUUAAAGAGGUUCGACGCGCCCAUUCGACUCUCCACGCGCUACCAAUGUCAUUACCUGAAAUACUAAAUAUGGGAUAAGCAUACAUAAUAUACUUAGUGUGGGAACAUGCAAUUAUUGUCCACGUUAAUAAAAUAGUAACACAUACGAUCAUAACAUUCAAAACGACACAAUUUUGCCAAUAUGGAAGCCACGUCAUUUAAAGUGGUAACACCCUAAUCUAACUAAAGUGUUAAAUAUAAAUUUAAAGCGGAAAUAUAAUAAAAUAAAGUUCUUUAUAAAAAUAAAUAAAGAAUUUUAUUUUAUUAUAUUUCCGCUGCUAAAAAAGAUAUUUAAAAUUUAUAAAUUAACACUUUAAUUUAUUUCUUGAGGAUUUUUAAGUCAUGUGCAAAAACAGAAAAAAAAUAUAAAGGUGAUGUAUUUUGGGGCGGAUUUAGAAUUCAAGGAAAUGUGGUGUAUUUAGGGGCGGAUUUUAAAGGUGAUGUGCAAUUGUAGAAUUCAAGGAAAGGUGGUGUAUUUAGGGGAAAUUAACCCUAUAAAUAUUCAAAAUCAAACGGAUUGGCAUGUAUUCAUCAUUUUUUAUUUUUUAUUUUGAUAAUUUAACAGUAUUAAAUAAAGAAAUUUAUAGGCUGCGUCCCUUACUGCUUGGCUUUUAGAUUAUGUUGUAAUAAUAAAAUUAAAAGCACGUUUACAAUAUAAAAUUAAUUAUGAUAAAUACAAUAUAUUAAUAAUAAAUACUCAAUUACCUCUUAACAUAAUUCGCGCAUCAUGGCUUUUAGCUUAUAUUAUAAAGAUAUAAUAUGUUGUCUAUAAUAAUCGACGGAAGGUAAUAGACAACAUGUUUUACUUCUUGUCUAUAAUAAUAUAGACAGUAGAUCUAGUGUUAUAGAUAACAAUUAAUACGUGUUGUCUAUAUGAUGAUAGACACCAAAAAUCUCUGUUGUCUAUUCUAUGACAAAAAAAUUUAAAAAAAUUCUAAUAUAUUUACAUCCCUGUAUUACAAUACCAAUAUAUAUGAAAAAAUAAAAAUAAUUAAAAAUCAAAUAAUCAAACAAUACUUAUAAACCACUAAUACUCACAAUCAAAUAUUUACACAUCAACAAUUGUAUUAUCUUUAAUUACGCCUUCAUUUAUCUACUAAAAAAAAUCUCUAAUAAAAUCUCUAACUAACUCCGGUCAUCAUCUCUUGAAGGCUUAGAAAAUGUCCAAAUACAGCGGCACAUGCUCAUUAUUGUGUGAGCGAUGAGAACUUUGCGCUGAACCUAUAAAGUAACUAUACUUAACUGGUAAAGUAAUUGUAUCCCGUGAAUCUAAAGGAAGAAUAAACACGUUGAUAGAGUUUGAAAGAAAAGAAUAAAGAGAAUGAAAAUCCAAAGAAUUUGCUUCUUCCGUUGAACAAUCCCUACACAACGUUGAAAUAUCAAUGAAAACAAUGGCUAUCCUAUACUCCCUCCAUCCAUGAAAGAACUUCCUAGGAGGGAGUGACACGGGUUUUAAGAAAAAAUAUUGUUAAGUGUAUUGAGAGUGGAUAAAAGGUAGUUGAGUGUAUUGGGAGUGGUGAAAAUGUGUUAUAGUUAAUAUUGAGAGUUGUGAAAAGUGAAAAGUAAGAGGAUUAUAAGUGGUGGGGUAUAGUCCAAAAAUAGGUAGGAAGUUCUUUUGUGGACGUCCCAAAAAGGAAAGAUAUGAAGUUCUUUCGUGGACGGAGGGAGUAUUAUUUUGCAGCAGCAACCACGUUUAAAAACUCGAUCCCUCUAUUCUUGAAUUUGUGAAAUUUCCGACUGAUUUAUUAGAUUCACCAUUUAUUUCAGUUUAAUUAGUCUAUAUAUAGAUAUUUCUUAUAUUAUUAAAUUGUUAACCUCAUGGUAGAUUUCAAGAUUUGAAAAUUCAACAAAGAGCUUGAGAAUUAUAGAGAUUGGAAGGGGAAGAUGAAACAUAGUUGGGUGAAAUUAGAAACCAAUUAAAGUCAGGAGAUUGAAGAAAAACAUAACUUAAAAACACAAAAUAAGCAAAUCGUAGAUGCAGUAUCUUGCAAGAAAAAGUUCAUAUUCCCAAGGCUAUGAUGAGCACGAAUUAGGGUGUGUCUGCAUUUUAUCCCUCUAAAUGGAGGAAUAAUAAAAUUUUAUGCCUUUAAAUGUUUGCUUUCUUAUCACACAUUCUAAACAAACACCAUUUUUUCUUCCUUAUUUUCACUUCAAUGAGGGAUAAUAUUAUCCCUCCAAUUUUGGUGUGAUAAUAUUAUCCCUCCUACAAGUGAAAAUAAGGAAGAAAAAAUGGUACUCCCUUCGUCCCAAACGAAAUGUCCUGUUUUCCUUUUUGGGCUGUCCCAAACGAAAUGUCCUGUUUCCUUUUUUGGCAAUACACUCUCUCUCUAUACUUAAUAUUUAAAUAAUUUUCACCAACCCACUUUAUCUACUUUAUACACAUUUCUUAAUCUCCGUGCCGAAAAGAAAUGGGACAUUUCGUUUGGGACGGAGGGAGUAUUUGUGUAGGAUGUGGGAUAAGAAAACAAACAUUUAAAGACAUAAAUUUUUGUUAUUCCUCCAUUUAGAGGGAUAAAAAGCAAACACACCUUAGAGUCUAAUUACAAUUUAGGCGCAGGCUGUGUGAGAAUUACUUAGUCGAAUAGGAUCCUUAGUAUUUAUAUUUCUCAUGUUCUUGUGUAUUUUUUCACUGAUUCACUAUUGGAUUAACAAGAAUUAUCUUACUUUAAAAAAAAAAAAGAAAUGAUCUUACUUCAUGUAUGGUAUGCCAACUGUUCGAUAAAGGUCCUUUUAGAAAUAUUCCAUAGAUUACCUUGCAAAGACCACAAAACUAGACACACCCUGCAUAGUUUAUACAUAGGGAUGGCCGAUUGAUGAUCGUCUUAUUUGUAGACUUAACGAGAGCAGACUCGAUCGCUUAGUCCUUACUGAUUUACGACACACAUGCACACAUACACAGAUACACACAUCACAAAAUCACGCAAAUUGACGGAUAAUGUUGCCGGCCAGCUCCUUCCUGCUCCACGCCACGGCAUUUUUCUGCACCAUGGUGGCCGUGAAAUACCACGAGACGAUGUCAUGGGUGGCGACGUGUUGUCCGGUGGCGGCGGAUAGCCCGACCUGAACCUCCUGAGCAACAAAGUAGCUCAAAUCGUACUCAUAGCUGACAUCAAACGUCUGAUUGCCGGCGGUGACUUUGACGGAGAUCAUCCUUGUGGCUCCGACGUAGUUGAUCCGCGCAGUUACCUGCUGCUUGAGUAUGGAGCUGUCGACCGGCGUCGUCUUGCUGGAUACCCUAGAGCCGAAGUCGAUGCCGAUGUGGGGAUAGAGCGGAUCCCACGCGCCGUUGACGUAGGUGUCGAUUUCAACGGCGAAGACCCCGGGGCUGUUGCCGUUGGAGCCAAAGAUUCCGAGAUUGGCUCCGUCGGAGCCAGGGGGGAUGGUGGAGUCGACGGGGGCAAUGAAGAAGGCGAGGCCGUCGGCAGGCUCGUUGUCGGCGCCGGGGGUGAUGAUGAAGUUCACGGUGGUUUCGAAGUCGACCUGCCCAUUGGACAUCCAGAAUUGGACCGGUUCCGAGUACAUGACGCGGCCGACUUGGGACGGUUGUGCGUCUGUGAGGCGGAGGAAGGUGGAGUCCGUCGGGAAAUGGGCGUUGCCUUGAUAGAUGAGAUCUUUCGGCUGGUCGCCCCAGAAGUCGAAGGUGAACGACGUCGUUUGGGACAACGCCGUGUUGGAAACGGCGAGGAGGAGGGCGAUGGAGGCGAGGAGAGGAGUUAAGUUGGCCAUGGCUUAAUAGAUUUAGAUUUAGAGAUGUGGUGGAUGAUGGUGGUAUCGAUCUGUUGCACCUAUUUAUACUAGUAUGGUUCAUGCCUGAUAAUAAUUGUAUCAAUCAAUCAUCGUGCAUCUAUCCCAAAUUAUAUGUCUUAUUAUUCACUAAUUAGAUGGAAUAAAUCCUAAUUUGCAAUCUUAAAAUUAAACCGCCAAUGAGGCCUUGCUCUAGUAGCAAAGCUGUGGCACCCAAUAACUUUUCUUUGUGAAAGGUCUUGGGUUCAAUCUCGCCUGCAUGCGGUGAUGUUUGCCCACUUUAGGUGGUGUGGUAUUCUCGCCUGCGUGCGGUGUUAUAUUGUUUAGUGUUAAGGUCCCACAUGCAGGGCGUUCUUGCAUGUGUGCGUGUCACAACCCAAAACCAUUUAUUUUCUUUACAAAUUUUAUAUGAAAAUUAUUUGAUUUUUAAGUUAUAGAGUUUUCGAUAUAUAUACAUAUAGUGUCAAUUUUAUGUUAACUUAGUCGUGUCCCUAAUUAAAAGAAUGAAUUUGAAAUAAAAGUUAAGCCUUAAAAAUUUAAUCUACAUUCAUAUAUAACUGAAAUUACAUGCAUGUCUAAAUAUUAUUUAUAAUUAUCAAUAACGGGAUUAAUGAUUCUAUAUCUCUAUGUUUAUACAUAUAUUCACGUAUGACAUAGUAUAUAUUAGCUAUUAAGUUAAAUAAAAUACUACAGUUUUGCAUAGGAUAUAUAUUUAAUUAGUAGUAGGAUAGGACACGUGUAUUAAUUUUAAGGGCAAGUAAUCAAACUUUUGAAUGAUUCAUCAUGCUUAAAAAAAAGAGACCUAGAUAGAUGAUUCAUCAGAUUCAAAAACAAGUAUAAAUAGACUUCGAGUUUGAAAUUUUAAUUAAUUUGCAACAACCAUUCAAACUGACUGUAUUAAGGUAAGUAGUUACAGAUUUCAUACACAUUAUAUGAUUUCGCGCACAUACGUAUGUAUAUAUAAAUAUUUUUUAAAAUCAUAUAUUAUAUAAUAAUUAUAUUUAAGUUUUAUAUUAUUCUUUAUAAACUAUUGUUCCAUUCUAUAUAAUUAGGUGUGGCAUGACUAGGACGUAACUUUCGAUUGAAUUUCUCAAGUUAAUCUUCAAGUUCAAGUUUCAGGUGUGGGAUUUAUUUAAAUACAUGUCGUGGUUAUUUAUUAUCCAUUUUAAUAAUAUGUGUUUACCAUAUGUGUUAUGAUGCAUAUUUUGAGGAUAUCGCUAGGGGCCCAUAAAUAGGGUCCAGGACUUCACCGUCCUUGGAUUGCCACAAUGCAAUUUGAGGUUUAUUUUGAGGAUGUCGUCAGGGAUCCGUAAAUAGGGUCCAGGACUUUAAUAGUCCUUGGGUUGCCACAGUGCGAAUAUAUUGAGGAUAUAUAUGAAGUGACCGUAUGUGUUACCGUUUCAUUAACGUGGACAAUGAUUGCUUGUUCUCACACUGAGUGUACUCUGUAUGCUCAUCCCAUAUUUAACGUGGAAGGUCGAUUGACGAAUCAAAUAUUUUGUAUUUAGCUUUACCUAAAUAUGUUAUUUUGAGUAAAGUAUUUUAAAUAAAAAUUUAUUUCAUAAUUUUCUCAUUAAAUAUUUAUUUAUAUUCAUAGCUUUUCCGCACAAAUAUUUAUUUAAAUUUUAAUUAGAUUUGGGUGUCACUGUGCGGUGAUGUUUUUCCACCGUUUCGGUGGUGGUGAGGCCCCACCUGCGUGCACGUUAUAUACUUGAUUAUAUUCAGAUACCUCUUGUAAUUUUUAAAAAAAUAAUCAUAAAAUUAAACCAAAGCAUAUAAAAUUGAAAUUGGCCAAAAAAAUAUAUAAAAAUAAAUAAAAUUAAAAAUGGGAUAUAAAGUGAGACAUUAAAUGUGGUACACUACUGAAUCUCAAUCCAACACGUGGAUGCUACAUUGUACUUGUCGGAAUAUUAGAACUUCUACAAAAUAUUGCUAUUGGAAACGUGAAAUUUUAUUAUGAGAAAACUUAUACCUGACCCCACAGUCGUGGGCACGUGUUAUGUUGCGCGGAAAUUAAAGUGGUGGGGACCGUAAAUGGUAUUUUAGUCUUUUAAUUUAUUUUAGUAUACAAAAGAGUUAAUUUUAAAGAGGCGCUAAAAAACACAUCACUUUUAAAAAUUGGUAUUUAAAAUCUUGAACCCCUUUUAUUAUUUUAGAAAGAUAUUAAUUAAUUGAUAAAUUAAUAAAUUAUUAAUUGAAACAAUUAUUUUAAGCAAAUUUAAUUAUAAUUACCUAAAAAUUUAAAAAACAUAAAUUCAAUACCAUUCAAAUUCAACAAACUAACUUAAAUUUUUACUUUAAAAAAUCUUCAUCAAUCUUGCAAUCUCGGCUUGGACUAUAAAUGUUCAACAAGAGACAAUAACCAAUUUUUCAGACAUUUGUGAACAAAAUGAAGCAUGUUUAGAGAUCCUUAAUAAAGGUGUACGAAAUGAUGGAUAAAUAAGUUUGUGAAAAUUUCACCAUACCUAACCCCACAAUUAUUUGCGAUCGAAUAUCCUCGUCACAGGAAAAAGAGAUGAUGACAAAAGGGAAAAAAAAAUUAACAAAGUAGAAGAUGCAUGACAACUGUCAAGAUAAAUAAUGUUACUAAUUAAAUAAUCCAAACUUUAUACGUUUCAUAUCAUAAGUGGCAGUUCUAUAUUUUUUGCGAAAGUGAACAAAAUAACGAAUAAUUUUUAAAGUAAUAGUAAAAGGAGAUGUGUUUUGACAGAAAACGACAUGAGCGGCCUAAAAAUAAGAGGGAAAAAGAUAAUCAUAUAAAUAUUCAAAAUCAAACGGAUUGGCAUGUAUUCAUCAUUUUUUAUUUUAAUAAUUUAACAGUAUUAAAUCAAGAAAUUUAAAGACCGCGCCCCUUACUGCUUGGCUUUAAGAUUAUGUUACAAUAAUAAAAUUAACAGCACGUUUACAAUAUAAAAUUAAUUAUGAUAAAUGCAAUAUAUUAAUAAUAAAUACUCAAUUACCUCUUAACAUAAUUCGCGCAUCAUGGCUUUUAGCUUAUGUUAUAAAGAUGGAGUAUAAAAUAAUCAUCACCUGUGCAUGAUAUUUCACAAAAUAAUUAAAUAAUAAAAUAAUCAAUCAUAAUGCCAAGACGUGACUCUUGUCGGUCAUAUCUCAUCAACUUUAUCUAUAUAGUACAAUGAUGAUUAAUUUGAGAACGACGAUUAAGACACCAACUAUUCUUGUGGGGACACAUGCAUAUAUAGAAUUAAUAUUAUAAACUCUCUCGGUCCACGAAAUAACUUACUAUUUUUUCUUUUAAGAACGUGAACAAAAAAAAUUCCCAUCGAUAUUUCGGAACUAUACCCCACUACUUUAAAAUACCUCAUUUUACCCUUUCUUUUUCACAAAAACAACAAAUUACUAAUAAUUUUUCACUAUUCCUAAUAUACUGAACAAUUUUUCUCCACUCUCAAAUUUUGUAGCACCGAAUAAAAUUAAAUACUAGUAUUAUUUUUUGUAGAACUAUAAAUAAAUAUUAUUCUCAAAACAUGUACUAUUACUUACUAUUUUUUUUAAAUGUGGGACGACCAAAAAAGGAAAGAUGAAUUCUAAAAGCUGGGACAGAGGAUAUAUUAUUUUUCUUCUUGGUUCUGAAGUAUGAAUAUUAAUUAACAAUUCUUCGUCCACAUCAAGCUCACCUUCACGUAAUUUUUUCUUGAACAACACCGAAAAAUAUAUAAUCCCAACAUAGCAUGAUCAAUCUCAAUGCACCAAACAUAAAUUAGUUUUAAAAUAAUAAUAAGAUUAACUACUAUAUUGCUGAAUUAUGCAGUAGAAUUAAAAGCGUGAUUUUUUUUUAAUAGAGCAGGUUAAUCUAGGCCUACCUGAACCAUCUGACUAUGCAUGAGUUUGAUUUUUCUUCUUGAUCUUUUUUAAUUUUACCGACAAAGAAGAUUUUCACAAAUGAAAAGAAAACGUUCUAGUAACAUACUACAUGCUUACUUCAGAUUUGCAACCAAGUCUAUUGAGGGUUUUAUUUGCUACAUAUAUAAACACAAGGAUUUGGUUUGAUACAAAUUAAGAAUAUUCAACUUUCAUCGGCUCAAGCACAUAGAAUCUCCCCGAGUAGUUAUAACUGGUCAAUGUUUUUGCCGAUAAAAAGGAAAAGGAAAGAAAAAAGAAAGAAGCAAGACGGAGAAAAAGUUGUAGUAAAUGAUUAUGCGAUGAAAAGAAAAUGGAAAAGAGAAAGAAAGAAGAAAGUUGUAGGAAUUUUGAAGAAUUUGUACUUAUUUAGAAUUGUGGUUAUUGUGGGAUCUUGUAUAAUAAUAAUAAUAAUAAUAAUAAUAAUAAUAAUAAUUAUUGGGCCGUUCCACGAAUCUUGGCACAUUUUCAAAUAAGGUAAUAAUUCAUUCUCUCUCUUACUUUAUCACUUUAAUACUUUAUUAACUACAAACUUAAAACACUAAUAUACAAUUCCUUAAUUCCCGUGUCGAAACCAAACGUGUCAAGAUUCGUUGGAUGGAGGGAGUAAUAAUAAUAAUAAUAAUAAUAGUAAUAAUAAUAAUAAUAAUAAUAAUAAUACAUCAUUGCCCUUUAAAAAGUUUUAAAAUAGGAACAUAAUAUGUAAAUCUAAUUUUGUAAAAGAAGCUCUUCUAUAGUAAUAGUUAUAGAUUUGGUGUGGAGGCAUUUGUUUGAGAAUGGGUAAAACAUACCAUUAACCCUUUGAUAUAUGCACGAGACACUUAUUUGUGGAUAGGACAAGAAUUAUUUUGUUGCAUAGGAUCCCUUCCAAAUGUAAUUACUGAUUCACAAUUGGAUUAACAAGAAUUAACUUACUUCAUAUUCAGUAUUCCAACUGUUCGAUAAAAGUUCUUAAUGAAAUCUUCCAUAGAUUACCCAAAUGCAUUGUUUUGCAUAGUCCGUACAUUGAGAUGGUCGAGUAUCUUAUGUCUAGACUUAACGAGAGCAGACUCGAUCGCUUAGUCCUUAUUUAUUUACGACACACACACAUCUCAAAAUCACACAAAUUGACGAAUAAUGUUGCCAGCCAGCUCCUUCCUGUUCCACGCGCCAGCAUUUGUCUUCACCAUGGUGGCUGUGAAAUACCAUGAGAUAAUAUCAUGUUUGGCGACGUAUGGUUGGUUUAGUCCGCUGGCGGCGGAGAGCCCUACCUGAACCUGCUCAGGAAGAAACUCGCCCAAAUUGUACACAUGGCUGACCUCAAACGUCUUCGAGCCGGCGGUGGCACUGACGGUGAUCAUCUUCGUGGCUCCGACGUAGUUGAUCCGCGCAGUCACCUGCUGUCCGACUAUGGCGUCUCCGACAUUCGUCGUGUUGCUGGAUUCCCUAGAUCCGAGGUCGAUGCCGAUGUGGGGAUAGUUCGGAUCCCACGGGCUGUUGAUGAAGGUGUCGAACUCGACGGCGAAGACCGAGGGGCUAUUGCCGUUGGAGCCGAAAAUUCCGAGGUUGGCCCCAACAGCGCCACUGGGGAUGGUGGAGCCGACGGGGGCAAUGAAGAAAGCGAGGCCGUCAGCGGUUUUGCCAUCGGGGCUGGGUGUGAUGAUGAAGUUAAUGGUGGUUUCAAAGUCGACUUGGCCACCGGAUUGGGAGAACUGGACCGGCUUCGAGUACAAGACCCGGCCGACCUGGUAUGUCUCGAAGUCGGUGAGGCGGAGGAAGGUGGAGUCCGAUGGGAAAUGGGCGUGGCCUUGGUAGGUGAGAUCGGUCGGCUGGUCGCCCCAGAAGUCGUAGGUGAAGGACGUUGUUUGGGACCACACCGUGUUGGCAGCGGCGGCAAGGAGAAGGGCGAUGGAGAUUAGGGUUUGUUGAAGGUUGGCCAUCGCUUAAUUGAUUUGGAUGUGGUGGAUGAUGGUGGUAUCUUUAUCUUGCUUCUAUUUAUAGUAGUAUAACGAGCCCUAGUUAAUUAUCUUUAAAUCAUACUAAAAUAUCAUAAAUUAAAAUUGAAGAAAAAAAAGUUAAAACCUACUCUCGCAGUCCCUCAAAUAACUUCUUAGGAGAAGAGGGGUAGGAGUUUUAAGACGAAGUUAAUGUGCAAAGUAAGGAUAAA
Molecule: long non-coding RNA, 48830 nt
Filed under: Salvia miltiorrhiza (redroot sage)
Lineage: Eukaryota; Viridiplantae; Streptophyta; Magnoliopsida; Lamiales; Lamiaceae
Description: long non-coding RNA (SMIL_LNC011427)
Source: RNAcentral